AGGAAGGAGAGAUCAUGGCGGACGGGAGGCAAGACUAGCCUGCAGCUCUGGACAGAGCAGCGAGUGGGAGCUCGCAUUGUAAACUUUAGCUCCAGAUGGACGGCAAAAACAAACCAGCAAUCCCCAGAGGACCCACAGACCCUCUGAAGGAAGUGGGCUGCUCCUGCAGGACCCGGGAGACCCCCAAAACUGUGAGUGUCCAGCUGCCGAAGUGGGAAAGGGAAACCCUCCUCUCCGGAACAGACACCCCCUGAGAAGUCUAUUUGUGGGAGAAGUUUCCGACUUUACCUGGAGCUGAGUCAGUCUGGAGAGCUGACUGAAAUACAGGGAUAGAGGAGGCAGCAGCAAGGCCCUGGGAGCUGAAUGGGUCCCCGGGCAGCCCAUUCCUGCCUGGCACCACAGGGAUCCAACGGGAGAGGAACAGAGGGUAAAACUACACGGAGAGAAGGAAAUCUCUAGCUGAACUUUGUAACAAUUCGAACAGCGUGAGAAGUCUCCUGGCCAGAACUCGGGGGAGGACACAAAUCUCCUGCACAGUUAAUAUCCAGAGUCACACGUGGAGAGGAAGCAUCACAAUGAGACCAUACAACCAUAUAAUCUGUUCAAGUCCUAGAAGGUGUUGGCAGAGCUGCAGGACUGACCUAGGUCAAUGGCUGUGGGACCACAGGGAAGAAAAGACACCAGAUGUUUCCGAUCAAGAGACAAGAGAAACAUUCAGCGUGACCCUAGAAAAUCUUUCUAAAGAGAUUUCACAACACUCAGCUCAUGUUUCGGGUCCAUGAAACCAUCUUUAGAUGAAUGAUGCCUUGUUACCUGUGAGAGGAAGUGAGCAGCGAGGAGUCCUGUCAGUUCCGGAAGGAGUAUUUGGGUUACUGUUCUUCAUUGUCUGCAGUUCUGUCUUGCUCAGUCGCCCAGGCUGAAGUGCAGUGGUGUGAUCAUAGCUCACUGCAGCCUCAACUUCCUGGAGUCAAGCAAGCCUCCCACAUCAGCCUCCUGAGUAGAUUGGAGACCUGUUGUGUGUUACCUUUGGAAGGUUUUCCACAGUUGAGAUCCAGUUGCUCCAGCAUCAUUUGUUGAGUGGUCUCUCUUCAUCCACAGAGCUCCAGAGUGUCUCCUCUUACAGGACUUCUACACGUUGGGCACAAAUUUCAGCAUGGCGUUAAGAAGAACUGUGAGUGGGCAUUCUUGCCUUAUUUCUACUUUCAGAGGAAGAUAUUUUGUUGUUCCCUGUUGAUAUUUGCAUUCAGAUGUUUUGUGAGUCCUUCUUAGUAUAUGAAGGGUAUUAUAUUCCAUUCAUUAUUUCAUUCAGUUCAAAAAAUUUUCUACAUUUGACCAUAUAUUUGUGAUAAAAAGAAUGUUUAGCAGUGUAUUUCAAAAACAUAUUUCAAAACAUAUGGGAAUUUUCCAAAUUUUUCUGGCUAUUCAUUUUCUAACUUAAUUGCUGAUAAUUAAGAAAGUAAAUUAUUAUCUUGUCUGAGUUAAGCAUUGUAUGAAUGCCAGUAAAAAGAGAAGUAGAGAAAAUCAUGCAAGAUAAAUUGGGUAUAUAGGUUCCUAAAAUGUGAUACCUGAGCUAGAGUGGAAGAAGCUGCAGCUUUAGAACCAGUUUAGAUUCUUGGUUUGUUUUCAUCUUUCCUUGACUCUGGGCCACUUCUGUAUCACCAACGUUUACAAUGAUUGAAUGUCACUCUAGGUUCAUUUACUUCUUAUUCUAAAGCCAAAUAUUUAGGUCCAUUAGAGGCCAACAUUAUUAUUAAGAGCUCUUUAGCACCCAAUGACAUUUUUCUUUCAAAAAGUCAAUAUUUUAUAGAAUCUAAAUUAAGUGGGAAAAGAGAUUUAAGAUUCGCUAUGAAUACAUUCUAAUUAUUUUUACAACAUUUUAUAACAAGAUUAAACUUUUGGUGAGUUCUGCUAAACUAUGAUAACUACAAAUCUGGAAACCUUUUUCUCCCCCCCAAAAUAAUUUUAUCUUUUAGGUUCUUUCUUCUUUUUUGUUCCUCUGUUUUUGCUGAUACAUUGAGAGUAGAUUUUAGCAAUUUUAAAGUAAGAGGGCUAUUCUCGUCAGUACAAGUUCUCCCAGGAAAAAUUUUUUAAAAAUCAGACAUACUUACCAAUCUGCGAAUAAACUUAAUAGUGAUAUAAAGGUAAAGUCAUGGGAGGAUUAAAAUCUGGAUUAAAAUCAAGAUACGGAAUUCUAUGAAAAUAAAUAUGAUUUCUGAUAUCUUUUUAAAGGUGCUGAACAGCUGAGUACACUCUAUUUUCAAAGAAUAAUGUUUUCCCUGGGUCCCCGGUCAGCUAUGAUUUCCCAGGAUGAUAUAAUGUUUCUUGCACUGGAAAAAUACAUAUUAUUUUUAGGUUAAAAGUUAUAAAAAGUGUUUUAUUCCCUGUGGCUAUCCCUCCUCCUCAAGCUACUAGGAAAAUGGUGAAAACAGAAAAAUCAAAACAAGAAUACCAACGGAUACGUUUUCUAAAACUUAACAUGCAUGUCUUUGAGAAUUCAAUUUUGUUAGCCACAUUUCAGAUAUAUAACCUUUUUCCUUUAAUAAUCUAUGAUUUAAAUGCUCAAAUGUUUUUAAGCAUGUGGUGCUGGCUCCAAAUAACCCUCCAUCUUGAGAGAUGCGACCCUCCCCAGGUUUCUCCCUUCAUCACUACCAGCAUCCGUUCUCUCUCUGGACAAGCUCUCCCUGAGCAGAAGGCUUAAUUGUGAAAUGGAAUGCCCUGGAUAAUGAGAGAAAAAAGGGGAAAAGAAGUCCUUUAGAUAUCAGAGAGAGAGAAUGAUGAUAUAAGGGAUGUGGCAUAUUGAUUUAAAUAUUAGCAUAUUGAUUUAAAUUACCUUGAAGAUAUGUACAAGCUGUAAUUAAGAAUUAAACAUUAGUAGGUGUCAUUUUGAUCAUAAUUAAGGGGCCUCAGGUAGCACUGGCAGCUUGACUUCCACUUGGAAUUUCUUCUUCUAAGUAUUAGGCACGUGCUUCUCUCCGUCACGGUACCACCCAUCCAGCUUGCACUCCUCCUAGGAUCGCUGGAGAUUCGCCUCAUGUUGCAGACCUAACCUGCACUCUGGGUUGUCUUGUUAAUUUCUGAAGUACCCCUCCACAUACAUCUAUCUGUGUGACCGCAUGCCUGGUCUGAUCUUUAUACGGUCAGUAGGUGUUGAGUUUUACCACUCUAGGUUGUCUUGUUAAUUUCUGAAAUACCCCUCCACAUAGACGUAUCUGUGUGACCACGUCCCUGGUCUGAUCUUUAUAUAGUCAGUAGGUGUUGAGUGUUACUGAUUUUUGGUCCCCGAGCUGGGUACAUUCAGGAACACACAUAUGCCCAGGUUUAUGGGCCGUUAUUCACAAGGCUCUCUUAGGUUUUCUAAUGUGAACAUUGUGUAGUCUUGGCAAGACUCAAUAAAAACUCUCUAAAAGAAAAUGGCUAGAAACAAACAUGGUAUAAAUUGCAAUAUCAGAAGCCCUGUGCUGAAAUAAAGCAAGAGUUCAUGUAGCCUGUGUUCAGCUUCUGACCACAGCAUCCAGAGAGAGCCUGCAGUGGGAAUCAUGCUUCUACUGAGUUUUCAAAUUAUGAUCAUGGAACACACAUUCUCCUGGAUGCCAAAGUGACUCAUGUUUCAUGGAUCAGCCUAAAGGUCAGUUCCUCUACUAAACUACUUUGAAUCCAUAGUCCUACAGUUUAAAAAUCUGGAAGGCAAUUCCGAGGUCACCCAGAGUGAUAAGGUCAUUGCAAUAUUUAAAUCAUGAGUUGAAAGCACUUUGCACAAUGUAACAUGCUAUAAAAAAACAAAUAUUUGUAGGAAUUAUUAAGAACCUUCAUCAGCAUUCCUGUGGAGUCAUCGCUAGGAGACUUGUGGUCUCUGAAAAGAGGACUGUUUUUAUACACAAUCAAUGUUUCUGUGUUUUGAUAGACAGAAUCAAUAGCUACCAACUGUUCAGCUGGGCUCAAACCACCAAACAGCUGGCUCUAUAUUCAUAUCCUCGUGGUUCAAAAUACUUUUAACCCUAUGAUGUAUAAAUUCCUACUCUGCACAGUUUUUACACACCGACCAAUAUAUACACAUCACAGAGGACACAUUUAGUGCUGCACUUCCUGCUGUGACUGUUAAAAAAGACAAGGGGCUCCCUGCUUGGCAGCUGUGAUGGCCUAGGAGUCAAUUUCUCAGCAGCACCAUUCUGGAACAUAAAAUCUUACAUUUAAUUAUAUCUACUGCACAGUUUUCAGAGUGUAGCUUAAUAAACAGUCAUCUGCAAAGAUCUAGAACCAGAAAUACCAUUUGACCCAGCAAUCCCAUUACUGCAUAUAUACCCAAAGGAAUAUACAUCAUUUUAUUACAAAGAUACAUGCAUGCAUGUGUUCACUGCAUUACUAUUCCCAAUAGCAAAGACAUGGAAUCAACACAAGUGCCCAUCAAUGAUAGACUGGAUAAAGAAAGUAUGGUACAUAUACACUAUGAAAUACUAUGCAGCCAUAAAAAGGAACAUAGUCAUGUUCUUUGCAGGAACAUGGAUGGAGCUGGAAGCCAUUAUCCUCAGCAAACUAAUGCAGGCACAGAAAACCAAACACCACAUGUUCUCACUUAUAAGUGGGAGCCGGACAAUGAGAACACAUGGACACGGUGAGGGGAACAUCACACACUGGGGCCUGGGGAGCAUUGGAAAACAUAGCUGAUGUAUGCUGGACUUAAUACCUAGGUGAUGGCUUGAUAGGUGCAGCAAACCACCAUGGCACACAUUCACUUAUGUGACAAACAUGCACAUCCCGCACAUGUACCCCAGAACUUAAAAUAAAAAUAAAAAUUUUAAAGGAAUUAAGAAAGGAAAAAAGCAGUCAUCCUUUUUGUACAGCUGAAAUUCAUCCUCAAAAGUACUUGGAAUACAGCACUCAUAUUCUUAGUGCUUCCAAAAAUCUCCCAAGAUUAUCCCAUUGUUUUGGAAAAUAAUACAUUGUGUGUAUAUAAUGAAUCUAUACAAAGGGCAUCUAAGGGUGAUAUGAAAAGACUCAUCUUGUGUGAUAUGCAUAUGCUGAGAAUUGUGGGUCUAUGCAGAUCGCCCUGGUCAAUUUUACCUUAGAGUUUUGGGGAGGUUAAUUUUGCCUAGAAAUACAAGAUGGCUUCCCUUUUUUUUUUUUAUUUUUUAUUUUCAGAUCACUUUAUUUAGGGAUGCGGCAAUGGCAGUAGUUCUCAAAAGGAAGCCGGGUAGAAGCAAAUUAAUUUCUAAGGUAUUCUAGACUCAGAUGUAUUGCAGAUGCUAACCCACUCUCGCCAGUUGGCAUCGAUGUCCUAGUCAGACGGGGACCAGGGAGUCUUUGUCGGUGUCUGUGGGUUCCUGCUUCUCAGCACCAGCAUCAGGGGGAGACGAAGUGCUGAUUAGGAGAACACACAUUGGCAGGCGCACGUGACAACCCUGGUCGGUGCUCUAUCCGUCUGGGUUUGUCCAACAAUUUAGUUCCAUAAAGAAGAGAACACAAAAGUCCUGCCUGCUAGGGAGGAAAUCAUCACUGAACUAAGCAAGGGGUAAGAUUCUGACUCCGGUCUGAUAAUUGCUGGAACAGGUUGAGGACAACGAACAUGACGUAGGAUGUAUGAGGUGAGAAAGGGCACAGUGAGCCCCAGGUCCAGGACACUGGUAGGUGUGUGGGACCUGAGAUGCACGUUGACCUCAUGUUGUUCUGGUCAAGCAACAUUUAAAGAUGAAUGAGAAUCUAUGCAAGAAUAUAAAGAGUCCCCAGGAUGGAAACACCGAAAGAAGACAGGUUCUGGAAAAAAAGUGGAAAGUAGAGAAGAGGGGUGAGGUAUCCAUACGCGCCCUGUAGCAUGUCUGUGUGAUAGAGAGAUGCAGAGAACCAAGGAAUCAAUGGUGAUUAAGACCCUGAUUGCAACAGGUGCAUAUGCAACUAGGUAGAAGAAUUUUUAAAUUAUCUAAAUAAUUUAACUCCUCCCCCAAAAAUACUUCACUAAGCAUUUUUAAAACGCACAUGGACCCUACCUUUCAGAAGUCGCUUAUCCUAACCAAAAUUUUUCAGGAGGGUUUCCUAGUUAAUGGAUGUGCUGCUUGCCACUGAAACCUCCUAAACCAUGUAACUCAUUAUGUUUGCAGAAUUAUGUGAGGCAGAUGCCCAGUAAGACCAAGAAUGCAGAGAAAUCUAAUAGAAACGCGGGAAGCAAUCAUAAAAGUCUUUAAAGGCAGACUUGAGUACUGUCAGCCUUAUGCUACUUUCUUUGUGUAAGAUUGAGUUAUCUUAAACUGUGUCCAUGGGAAAUAAAGGAGAACAGAAGCCUGCUUUUUAAAGGCUUUGUGUUACGAAACUGCAUUUAGAGUUUAUUAGAAACAGGAAUAACUUAGGUAGCAAUGUCAAUCAGACGUUAAAAAUAUAUAUGUGGGGCCGGAGCUGGUGGCUCGUGCCUGUAAUCCCAGCACUUUGGGAGGCCGAGGCGGGCAGAUCAGUUGAGGUCAGGAGUUUGAGACCAGGCUGGCCAACAUGGUGAAACCCUGUCUCUACUACAAAUAUGAAAAAUUACCGGGCAUGGUUGCAUGCACCUGUAACUCCAUCUACUCGGGAGGCUGAGGCAGGAGAAUUGCUUGAACCCAGGAGAUGGAGGUUGCAGUGAGCUGAGAUCAUGCCACUGCAGUCCACUCUGGAAACAGAGCAAGACUCCUUCUCAAAAUACAUACACACACACACACACACACACACACACACACACACACAGAAUAUAGAAAAUGUAUAUACACAUAUAAUACAAGAUAUAGAUUAGGUAGUUUAAAAGAAAAAUUGCACUGUACAAGAUGAGCAAACAAAUUUUAUUUUAUAUAUUUAUUUUAUUCCUACACUUUUACCAGCAAUAGGGAAGCGCUCACAGACAGAUAUGGUCUGGAAAUCCAGCUUCCUUGAAACAAAAGAAUGGAGAGUUUCAAGAGCUGAGUGGGGGAAUCACAGGUCACCUGCAUUUGCUAAUUGCUUUCCCCAAAGUAAAGGUAGAUUUUCUCCUGUGUUUAUGACAGAAAGGUAGUUUUACAACUUGGACUCCAGCAGAGACUGGAAAGGGGCCCCUACCUUGAUGAUUGCAUUCCAGAAGGAUGGUGCCCAUAGCCUUGGAAAAGUCGCUCCGAGCUGUAAAACUGGCCAGAGACUGGACAAAGAUUUACAUCUCAAAGGACAGAGAAAGAAUUCAUCAUGAGCAGUGUUCUAAAGUAAAUGCUCUCCAUAAAGGGAGGUCAGAAAGAAAUCAUCUAACAUUGAGACUGGCUGAGGGACAGGUGGACACCAUCUUGGUCGGUAGCUAUCAACAGAGAAGGACCAGCUGAGGCUGGGGAAUAGAUACUGGUGAUGAUGAUGAUGAUCAUGAUUAUGAUAAUGGCACACAACUUUAUAAAGUCUUAAAAUUGAAAAAAAUAACACUCCAGUAAGUAUUUUCCCACUUAAAUGUUCCACAAUAAACAUGUGCCAUAGUAAUAGCAAAUGCGCAGCCCAGAAGCAGACUGGUGGGAGCUGGACCAUCCCGUGUCCUCUGGAUUCCGGUUCCGGGCUCUAUUGAGGUCAUUUUGCCUGCUAAGGUUGAAAAGAUGCAGUGUGGAAAUAUGUGAGGGUAUCCAAGACCGAAUCAUGAAAAAUAUGCACACCUUCAGCGCCCUAAAUAUACACGAUUACCCUCAGUGCCCAGCACGUCCAAAAUCCAACGCGUCAUUUCACCUUCUUGUCACUGACUAGUAUUUCUGUCAGUGGUGCUAGGAUUCUUUCAAAUUAAUCAUCACGCACCUUCAAAACAACUUAUCUGUCUCCUAAAGGAUCACCUCUCCUCUCUAAUUCUUUCUAUAUCCAGCUGCCAAAUGUAUCUUUCUAAGUGGUUCCUAUGUUGCCACUACUCCGCAUCAAAAAUUGAGUUACCAGCUGAAAUAAUGUGAUCAUCUUGGUCUUUUCAUGGCCAAAUUAAGCCAUUUACAUGUAUUUUUGAUAAGUGAUCUGCUUGGUUUCAUAAUAUCUAUUUCAGCUUUGUUUUCUAUAUGUUGCAGUUUUAUGCCAUUUUCUUAUUUUGACUCUUCACCUUCUUGUUUCUUCAUUACAUUUUGAAAUUGUUACAACGCUUUAAAAUUCUACUGAUUAUAUUUCCAUAAGGCAUUGAAGACACAUAAACUUCUGGGAUGUUUCAAAGGUACUGCAGAAGAUUUAAUCAGUUUUUGGCUAUUGCUAGAAUGUCCUCUAACCCUAAGUUUCUUCACUUUCUGAUAAAUGCUUGAUAUGGUUUUGCUGUGUCUCCACCCAAAUCUCAUCGUGAAUUGUAGCUCCCACAAUUCCUAUGUGUCAUGGGAGGGACCUGGUUGGAGAUAAUUGAAUCACGGGGGCAUUUUCCCCCCAUACUCUUCUCCUGGUAGUGAAUAAGUCUCACGAGAUCUGAGAGUUUUAUAAGGGGAAACCCUUUUCGCUUGGUUCUUAUUUUCUCUGCUGCCAUAUAAGAUGUAUCUUGUGCCGUUCCCCUUCCACCAUGAUGGUGAGGUCUCCCCAGCCACGUGGAACUGUGAGUCAGUGAAACCUCUUUUCCUUUAUCAGUUACCCAGUCUCGGGUAUGUCUUUAUCAGCAGCAUGAAAAUGGUCUAAUACAAUGCCUAUUUUAUAGUCGAUGCAUGGGCACACUGUUAGAGAACCCCAAAUUGCAAUAUUCUUUCUUACCAUUUUGUUAUUGUUGUUAUUGUUUUUAUUUUCUCUUACAGAUAUCUAAUUUGAUUUAACUGACAUUUAGGAUACUUCAAACCUUUUCUCAGGUUGGGUACAGGGAUGCGGAUAGUGCCUGGGAAGUGGUACGUCGACAAAAGUCUUUCUCUUACCAUGUAGCCUGAGUUCUCUAGGUUUUGAAGACAUUUCAUUUGCCUGAGUAGCUUAAAGACACUGAUGACUGUGCCAAGCCUCCAGGACUGUGGAGGAGAGGUGGUAUCAGUGUGACUCUCUUUUGUAUUCUGUCUACUUGUACAAUCUGGCAGCGCAUGUGAUUCUGACUCCAUCUUCAGGAUUUUUGGGUAUAUCAAUAUAUCCAGACUAUUUGUAAAAUUUAUUUCCUCUGCAAUUCACUGUCACUUUUUAAUUCAAAAACACAUUUUUCUUUAUCCACAAAAAAUAAUUUUUUACUGCUUGUUAAUUCUUGCAUCUCCAUCCAGUUUUACUCCUUUAGGGCAUUAUAAGAAUUAUUUUUCUUGGAUCUGCCUUCCAAUUCACAUAUAUUUUGUCUUAAUAUUUCUAUCUAAUUGUGUCUCUGAUUUUUAUACUGAUAGGUACUUUUCCCAUUUUUUAUUCAUGAUAUUAAUUGGUUUUGUGGCACAAGUUUUUAAAGUUUUAUUUUCUUCAACUCCUAUUUUGAUUCUUUUUUUCCCAACAUCCUACUUCUCUUUGCUUGUUUAUUUCUUUGGUCUUUUUGACAUUUAUCUUGGUCUCUAGAAGUCUCCCGCGAACACACAGAGGCCCAAGACUGCUUACACACUUCUAUUUAAAAGAGAGGCCUAGGAAGGUAAUUAAAGCUUGCGUGAAUAACCGAGUCUUAACAGCCAGUGUGUGUCAUUUAAGGGUAAUCAGGUGACAACCGCCAUCUGGCCGUUUCAUCGUGGGGUGGGGGGGGGCCCAAGCAUCAGCAUAAGUAUAUAUGUUCUCAGUGAUGGUUAAGUUUCAGCAAAAAAAUCUCAUCAACCUUCUGCUAGGGUGAAAGGUAUAUGACUGGUUGACAAUGUUCCGAGGCCCCAUUGGAAGGCGGAAACAAAGGAUUUUGUAGUUCAGGAUAUUAACUUUCAGCCCAUCAACCUGUUUUGAGUACCGUAUUGCAUGCCUGCACCCAACGCCCAGAGUCUGGGGUGUUCUGUUUUAAUUUCUCUUGACACCCCGGCUCCCUUAGGGGAGAAGGGGAUGUUGAGGGAGACUCACUGACCUGCUUCACAUUCCUUCAGUCAACUUUUGUGUUCUUACCUUCACUCCUUAUUUCCACCAUGAGAGUUUCACUAUGCUUUGAAUUACUGGGAUUUCCACAAUUAAGCAAUGCAAAUUAUUGAAUUAUUUUGUUUAUCUUAUUUCUCAUUUGUAAUAACUUGUUAUGUGAAUUUUCUUUGUCAUCAGUUAUCACAAAUACACCAACUUUAUUGUUAAAUAUUUUUUCAUCAUCAUUCAUAUUCUGGGGUCUCUUCUGUUUUCUUUAGGGUCUACUGUUCUUGGAUGAAUUAUACAUACGAGGCUUCAAUGGAUCUCAUACGUUACCCAUAGUUUUCCCAUUUCCUUCAUGGAAUUUCUAAGUGUACUAGUUAAAUUUGUUUUUCUCUUCAGUUCUUAAAGCCAUUUGGGCACUGCAGUUGUAUCUUACUGAGUUUGCCUUUGUUGUGUAAAAUAUCUUUUUUUUUUUUUCUCCCUCUUCAGUGUAAGCCACCUCUUCCAGAUGUCUUUCCUUCCUCUGUAGAUAGUCGGUUCUCCUUUGAGGAUGGAAACCACCCACGCAGCUUGCCAUUUUUAUUAACAUGAUUUUAUAAUUCCCUGUUUUCAAGAACAUAACUUUACUUGUGUUUCGCUUAGGAUCCUAGGAGAUGCUUGCACCAGAAGAUAAAGUUGCAACUAACUUUAUUGCUUACUCCAAAGACUCAUCCGUUCUUCAAUAGGAAAAUCAAAAGCCAGUUUAAAACAGUCUAAGACUUUCUGAACAAUUCGGCCUCAAAAUUCUUGGCAUUGUCUGGCCACAAAUUCUAAACAAUUAUAUCAUAAUCUUUCCCCAAAUUAACCAAUAUCCUGAAUUGAAAGAUGCACCAUAAGUCAGAUUUUUCAGUCUCAAUAAAUAUCCUGAAUUGUGUUUUACCUAAUGGUUCAGCACGGAUUCCCUGUGGGAGUACUGCUGGCCCUGGGUGCAUAAGCAGUGAACCUGGCUUUGUCUUUUCAGCGGGCUUUUUGGUGAUACUUUGCAGAACCAGCGUUGAAUAUCCUCAUGGAAUAGUCCCUUCUCUGCCGACUGAUAGUGUUUCGCUUUGUCAGCACCCUUGCUGGGGACCAAAUUGUGUCCUGCCGCAAGUCAUACGGUGAAGCCUGAAGCCCCAGGGUGACUGUAUUUGGAGACAAGGCCUUUAGGCAGGUAAUUAAGGUUAAAUGAUGCCAUAGGGUGUUGUCCAACAGACUUGGUGACUCCACAAAGGAAAUACACCAAAGGAAGGCCAGAUGAGGACACAGGGAGAAGUUGGCCAUUUGCAACCUAGAAGAAGGCAGAACCUGACCGUGUGGGCGCCCUAAUCUCAGACUUGCAGCUUCCAGAACUGCGAGAUAAUACAUCUGUGCUGUUUAAGUCACGGGGUCUGUGGUAGGGUGUUAUGGCAGCCACGGCUGUAAGACCACCCAUAUGGUGGGUGCGGUCGGUGCCCCUGGGGCAGUAGCCAACAGGUGGUUAAGAGUGAUGCUGCUUUUUUGCCCUCUUUUGGGAAGAAGGAAAUGAUUUGAGGGAAUGUUACCCUCUGCUAGUGAAUUGGGUUGAGGCACCACUACUUCCUGAUCAAUUGGCUUCAAGCAGCAUUUCUCCCUAUUUUUGUUGUUGUUGUUGAAACAGAGUCUCACUGUAUCACCCAGUCUGGAAUGCAAUGGCAUUGCAACCUCAGCCUCCCAGGUUCAUUGCAACCUCAACAACCUCAGCCUCCCAGGUUCAAGUGAUUCUCCUGCCUCAGCAUCCCUAGUAGCUGGAAUUACAGGCACACGCCAUGACACCCAGCUUUAUUUUGUAUUUUUAGUAGAGACGGGGUUUCACCUUGUUGACCAGGCUGGUCUCAAACUCCUGACCUCAAGUGAUCUGCUGGUCUUGGCUUCCCAAAGUGCUGGGAUUACAGGCGUGACCCACCACACCCAGCCCAUUUAUCCCUAUUUUUUUUAAUUUCAAGAGCAAUAUGUUGAGAUAUUGUCAUCGCCUUUCCUGCUGACCAAAGUCCUGGUUGGCACAGCAGAUGCAGGCUCCACCCAGUGCUUGGUAUUAAAUCAUCUUAAGCCUUAAAAAGAGACAGGUUUUCUCCCCUGACAUUAGCCCUUCAGUUUUUGCCUGGCAAGGAAAAAAUGAAGAAGUGCUGAUGACUUUUUUCUCUAGAAUUCCUGAAAAAGUAUGUAGUAUUACCCCAACUUUUCUGCAUAUUCUCUACACUUCUCUUCUUGAAUUUAUGAUUUCUCAUUUUCUUUCUUUCUUUCUUUCUUAUCUCUUUCUUUCUUUUUCUUUCUUUCCUUUUUUUUUUUUUUUUUACGGAGUCUUACUCUAUCAUCAAGGCUAGAGUGCAGUGGCAUGAUCUUGGCUCACUGCAACCUCCACUUCCCAGGUUCAAGCGAUUCUCCUGCCUCAGCCUCCUGAGUAGCUGGGAUUACAGGCACCUGCCACCACGCCUGGCUACUUUUUGUAUUUUUAGUAGAGACAGGGUUUCACCAUCUUGGCCAGGCUGGUCUCAAACUCCUGACUUCGUGAUCCACCCGCCUCGGCCUCCCAAAGUGCUGGGAUUACAGGCAUGAGCCACCACACCUGGCUAUGAUUUCUCAUUUUCUUUCCUGAGAAAUGCAUCCAUCCCAGACUUUGAUUUUUCAAAAUUUUGUGUAUUUUUUCAUUGCCCACCAAGUGAAAGUCAGCAUAGAUUAUUGAUUAACUGUAAAAAAUAAAAUAAUAUAUGUACUAGAAAUAACUUUAUGAGAAAAAGUAUGUAAUUUUGUUAUGGAGAUGUCUAUACCAGUCAUAUUUACUUUUCUCUGCCUCCUACUACUGUUGGUUGUUUAAUUUCCAUACACUUAAUUUUUAAACACUGGUGUAGAUCAUGCUGAUAUGGUUUGCUCUGUGUCCCCACCCAAAUCUCAUCUUGUAACUCCCAGAAUUCCCACAUGUUGUGGGAGGUAUCCUGUGGGAGGUGAUUGAAUCCUGGGGUUGGGUCUUUUCAGUGCUAUUCUCGAGAUAGUGAAUAAGUCUCACGAGAUCUGAUGGUUUUAAAAAUGGGAGUUUCUCUGCACAAGCUCUGUCCUUGCCUGCCACCAUCCACAUAAGAUGUGACUUGCUCCUCCUUGCCUUCUGCCAUGAUUGUGAGGCCUCCCCAGCCACGUAGACUGUGAGAUCUCCAUUCAGCCUUUUUCCUUUGUAAAUUGCCCAGUCUCGGGUAUGUCUUUAUCAGCAACGUGAAAACGGACUAAUACACAUGCCAUCCAUUUUUCCUUCUCUGGCAUAGUUUUUUUUUUUUCAGUUAUUUCAUCUGUAUAUAUUUCAGUAUUCAUCUCUAAAUAUAGUGAUUUUAAAAAACAUCAUUUUGCAAUAUGAAAAAGAUAAUUUCUUUGUAUCAUCAAGUACCCAACUGUGUUCAUAUUAAUUGUUCAUAUUAUGAACACAUAUUAACUGUGUUCAUAUUAAUUCUUUCAUGAAAAGACGUUCUAAAAUGUAAAGUUCAAUCUCUCGAAACUUUCCUUUUUGAUUGGUGCUUUCUUUGUCUGAUUAUUGAAAUCUUUCUAUACCGUAAGGGCAUGAAGAUAUUCUUCUCUAUUUUGUACUAGAACUAUUAUUAUUUGACCUUUACAUUUAGGUAUAUAAUGUGCUAGUAACUGAUGCUUAUGUAUUAUGUGUAAUUGGGGUCAAUAUUCAUUUUUUCUACUUAAUAUCCAAUUCACUCAGCAUCAUUUAUUGAAUAUAUCAACCUUUCCCUACUGAACUUCUGUGUACUCUUUAUCCUAAAUCACAUAAUUUUUUUCCCCAUAUACUUGUGGGUCUAUCUCUAAAAACAGAAUUUUGUUAUGUCUGGGAAACAGUCAAUGUCCCCAUGGGGCAGCCUUUCUUAUGGAACUGACAUUUUUAUCAGAGGCAGAUAGUCUUUCUUUUAUAAGCAGAAAAUAUUUUAUUGUCCUCAAAAUUGCUAAGAAUGAAUUAAUCCUCAUUUGCUAUUAAUUUCAAUGUACUGUUCCCACACCCAGUAAUAAUAAAUGUAUAAUUAUGUUUCCCUUGACCAUUGAUUUCAGUUGUGUUUUCUCACACCUGAAUUAUUUUAUUAGUUAUCUACUUCUGAGAAACAAGUUACACUAAAAUAUCUCAAUCUAAAUAUUUUAAAGUACUAGCUAUAUUGUUUGCUCGCUUUGCUUAUGGCCAGUAAUUUGGGUUUGAGAUUAGUUUGGCUAUUCUGCUGCAGUCCUUGGAAAACAGCUCACUGGAUGGCAGUAACCUCAAUUCUCCACCCAGACUGGGUGGUGUAAGGUGUCCACACUCGUGCCUGUGCUGCUUGGGACUGGCGCCCAGCUAGGGUUCUCUCCACAUCAUCUCUUAUCCUCCAGGAGGAUUACCUGGGCUUAUUCAAUGCGAACUCCCAGUGGAAACCCCAUUUCCGGCAAAAAAGCACAAUAGAAGCCAUUAGCCAUGAGACUGUAAAAUAAGAAAAAGAAAAAUAAUCGACAGAAGAAUAAAGGUGUUCCAGGGCAAGAAACUAAAACAUAUUUCUAAAACUGAGCUGCAGAUAGAAUUCCUGGUUUCCUGGUAGUUAAAGAAAGAGACAAAGUGUAAGGAGUUACACAGUUAUUGUCAUUAGCUAAAAGAAAUUUCAUAUUUGUGGCCUAAUAGGCAUGGAAAUAAAAUGCUAGAAGGAGCAGGGCAUGAUGGUGCACACCUGUAGUCCCAGCUACUCAGGAGGCUGAGGCGGGAGAGUGGCUUGAGCCCAGGAGUUUGAGGCCAUAGUGAGCUAUGAUUGCACCACUGCACUCCAGCCUGGGCAACACAGUAAAACUCUGGGAAAUGAAGAGACAAAAAAAAAAAAAAAAAUGGCAUGGAAGAAAUGUCAGAUGGAAUAACCACAAAGUAAUGAAUAUUCCCCAAAUAAUGAAUGUCAUGAAACCAAAAAGUUAACUUACUUCCCAAAUGGUACAUUGUGUGGAAGCUAUUCACUGCACACUAAAACAAUAGUAAAAGCAAUAUACCUCUGAAUUGUUACAUAAAACAUACAGUUCUAAAUGGGUGUGUUUAUUUUUAUACACAAACAUGAAUAUAAUGUAUGUAGAAAAUGUGUGGUAUAUAGAAGAUUAAGAUAUGUUAGGACUCUAGCUCCUUCAGGAACUCACUUCUAUAUAGUGCCUUUUAAAUUAUUGUCACACCUCCUUUAACUAUAGAUAUAGUAAUAGCAAUCUUCAGUGAUCCACAAUGGGUUAUAUAAAUCUCCCACUUCAAAACCUUAAUACAGAAUUAUGUUUCUGUGAAAAAGUUAACUUGGUGUUGAAAACAAAAUGUAUUUUCAUUUUUCCCCUUUUCCCUAUAUUACUUAAAACAUAAUAAUUUAUUGUUAGAGGGCAUUCAGUGGACCAGUGACACUAUUUACUUUAAUUCAGGUAAAAUAGAAAUAUUAGCACAAUUUAUUUAUUGAAAUAUCAAAUUGAAAACAGACAAAAAGUCAGUGAAUUUGAGAUCUAUUACAUUUUCCAGUGUACUAAGAGUUAAACAUGUAUUCUGUUGUAAUAUUACUCUAAUACUUGAUACAUUAUCUAUUCCUCGUUCAAGUGAUUCAAUACAAAUUUUAUUUUGUAGCAUUAUGAAGAUCAGUAAUGUUUCAAACAGUGGAGUUUCAAACUUUAAAAAUGUGUGUGUGAUGUUUCCCUGAACCCAUAUGCAAAAUGUCUGAGAACAGAAUAGAACUAGCAUUCAGAUCUUGGUUCUGAAUACUCUUCUCCAGUAUAAGGAAUCAGCGCUCUUUGAAGAAAUGCCUGAUUCCACCUCUGGGGCAGGACAUGAGCAAGAUGAGCCUGGGGCAUCUUACAGUGCCUGAAAGGAAGUGCUCAAAAAAUAAAGGGAUGGGGACAUGGUUUGGAUCUGUGUCCCUACCCAAAUCUCAUGUUGAAUUGUAAUCCCCAGUGCUGGAGGUGAGGCCUGGUGAGAGGUGAUUAGCUCACGGGGGCGUUUUCUCAUGGCUUAUCACCAUCCCUCCCCCUGCUGCUGUCCUCGCGAUAGUGAGUUCUCCUGAGAUCUGCUUGUUUCAAAGUGUGUGGCAUCUCCCCACUCCCUCCGUCUCUUGCUUCUGCUCUGGCCAUGUUAAGUGCCUGCUUGUUCUUCACCUUCCACCACAAUUAAAGUUUCCUAAGAUCUCCCCAGAAGUUGGCAGAUGCCAGCAUCAUGCUUUCUGUACAGCCUGUGGAACUGUGAGCCAAGGAAAUGCCUUUUCUUUAUUAAUUACCCAGUCUCAGGUAGUUCUUUAGAGCAAUGCAAGAACAGAUUAAUACAGAGGGGAGCUUGUCAAAGGCUGUAGGGCCCAACUGGACAGAGCCCCCAGAGGCCAAAACCAGAAUAAUCUGGAUUAUGAACCAAAGCAUGAAACACAUUCGCAUGAGUCCAUGGAGAUAUGAAUACAUGAUUGCCAAAAUGAAUAACUAGGGGAGAAAAAGAUCCCCCAUAGGAAGAAUUCCAAAUAAUGUAUGAGCUGCUCUCUGUUCCAGGAGGUGGAGAUUUACUCCCUGCUGUGGCCUCCUGAGUGCUUGGAGACCUGUUUCCAAAGAGCACCACGUGAGCGGGGGGAAACCACAGCCUUGCCUCGAGCAGCACUGCCGCGGCCAGGCCACCAAGGCCGCAUCAUCAGUGACUCGGGACGCUGAUAGCGCAUCCUCUUGGCAUGGCAUGUUGAGAAGGGCACUUUACCUCUUUAGUCUCCCGAAAGCCCGUAACCCCAGUCUAAUAAGGAGAAAAACUAUCAGACAAACGCCAAAUUAGGGGCGUUCUACACAAUACCACCCACCUCCUCAACACUGCUAACGUCAUCAGACACAAGGAACAUUUGCAAAACUACCAUGAAACAGACUAGGCUAAGGAGAAAUGAAGACCAAAUGUAAUAAAGUCCCCUGGAUGGGAUCCUGCAAGAGAAAAAGGACAUUACGGGGGAAACUCAUGAAAUGCAAAUGAAGUUACAAGUGUAGUUCAUAGGAACUGCCAUUGUCGGACCCAUGGUUGUGAGCCGUUGCCCACAGAGACCUAGGAUGCAAUGAGGCAAGAGUGGAAACCAGGCAAGGGAUGAACAGAAAUUCUCUGGGCCGCCUCUGCAAUGUUGGGCAAAUCUAAAAUUGUUCUAAAAUUAAAAGUUUACUUACCCCAAAACAAAACAAAAAUCACAAUAGAUUUUAAAACAUUUUCAUACGAUUGCUUGGAUACAAUACUCAGCAGUCCAUCCAAGUUUGCAGCACAGUAAUACAAGCUCAGGAGUGGAAGCCAAAAUGAAAAAAAAAAGGAAGCAGAGCAUGUACAGUGGGGUUCCAUUUCCGUAAAGCUCAAAGCCAAGCAAAGCCAGUCAACCUCCCACUUAGGAAGAGGCCGGCGAACUAGCAAACACCUCUAGUUAUACAGCAAAGCCCAGAUAGCUUUGACCUAUGGCGGGGUGAUCAAAUAAGGGUGCAGAGGUAGUGUGAACAUGACGUAUAGCAUUCUAUGUCUAAAUUUGGAGUUUUAAACAUUGCUUUACUAUCAUCUUAUUCGUUAUUAUUAUUUACCCAUAUACAUGCACAUAUAUAUUUAGCUGGAAAUGUGAUUUACUAUGCAUAAGUUUUAUGUAUAUAUGCAUAUAUAUAUUCAGCUGGAUGUAUAUGUUUUAUCAUUGUUGUUUUGUUAGUUACUAUACAUUUAUUUAUUAAACUUUUAUAUUUGUAUGUAUAAAUACAUUUACACACAUAAAAUACAGAUAUAUUUUUGUAUAUUAUCUGUAUAGUUUUAUGAAUAUGCAGAUAGAUUUUUUGUAUUUCACAGAUUUCUAUUAUUUAUAUAUAAAUUUGUAAUGGUCAUGCAUUUAUAAAUAUACAAUACAAUUUAGCUUUAUUUUUGAUUGCACAUAUUGGGUUGGAUAUAGUCAAUACAAUGUUUUAAUGGAAACAAGGUGCCAAAAGCAAUAUCACUGGGCUGAACAGAAUUCAGACCAGACUGGCAGCAUCAAGUAAUAAGCAAAAAUGUAAAUCUAUUGUGCAAUUAUUAUACAACUUUUUUAUUUUUAAUUUUAUUACUUUUACUUAUUGAGUUGAAAGUUUUUUAAACAUCAUCAGACAUAUAUAUGAUUUGUUGGUACUGUCCACCAAUAUUUAGCUUGUCUUUUCAUUUCCUUAGGGGCAUCUUCUGAAAAGCAAACAUAUUUAAUUUAAAUGAAGUCCAUUUUUUUUUCACUCAUGGUUUAUUUGGUGUUAUGUCUUAAUCAUAUUGCUUCAAAAUCACAAUGCUUUUACUCUAUGGUGUAUUAGAGAAGGUUCAAAAUUUUAAUCCUUAGAUUUAGAUCUGUGAUCCAUUUAAGUUAAUUUUGUGCAUAGUCUGAAGUAAUGAUCUAGGAUUAAUUUUUCCACGUGUAUAAGCAACUUAGAACCAUUUGCUAAAACACUAUUAUUUCCCUAUUGAAUUGUCUUUCUAUGUGUGUAAAAAAUGACCUGAUCAUAAACAUAAGGGUUUAUUCUUGGACCGUGAAAUGUACUCCUUUGGUCUAUAUGUCUUAACUUUACGUAAAUACUAGACUCAGUGAUAUGGGUUGGCUCUGUGUCCCCACCCAAAUCUUAUCUCCACCUGAAACCCCUGUGUGUUGAGGGAGGGAGGUGAUUGAAUCAUGUGGGUGAUUUCCCCCAUGCUGUUCUUGUGAUACUGAAUGAGUCUCAAGAGAUCUGAUGGUUUUAUAAGUGUUUGGAAGUUGCUCCUUUAUUCUUCUCCUUCCUGCCACCUCGUGAAGAAGGUGCCUGCUUCCCCUUUGACUUCUGCCAUGCGCUGUAUCAUUUUUCAUUCCAAUGAAUUAUGUAUAUGAGUACCAACACUCCACAUCUUCCUACUCAUUCGUCUCAUUGUUUUCAAAUGUUAACCAUAUUAGUCCAUCUGUAGGAAAAUAUAGUUUGCAUUUUAUUUAUGAUGCACAUUUUAUUUAUGAUGUAUAGCUGCUUUCAUAGCUAUAAAAUCUGGCUGGUGGCUCAUGCUUAUAAUCCUAAUACUUUAGGAUACUGAGGUGGGAAGAUCACUUAAGCUCAGUAGAUUUAGACCAGCAUGGGCAACAUAGUGAGACCCCAUCUCUACAAAACAAACAAACACAUAAAUAUACAUAUAUAUAUUUGUACAUCUGUAUAAAAUGUAUAUAUGUGUAUAUACAACUGUGUAUAUGUAAAUAUAUAUACACAUGUGUAUAUAUAGAUAGAUAUAUACAUGUGUAUAUAUAGAUAGAUAUAUACACAUGUGUAUAUAUAGAUAGAUAUAUACACAUGUGUAUAUAUAGAUAGAUAUAUACAUGUGUAUAUAUAGAUAGAUAUAUACAUGUGUAUAUAUAAAUAGAUAUAUACAUGUGUGUAUAUAAAUAGAUAUAUACAUGUGUAUAUAUAAAUAGAUAUACACAGAGGGAGAGAGAGAGAAAGAAAGAGAGACAGAGAGGAAACCUAUAAAACCAGUAGAUUUAACUUCAUUUGUCGAACAUGCAGAAUGAGACGUGGCCUUCAGCUUAUAGAUUGUUAUGAGAAUAAAAAAACUGGCAUAGUUCAAGAGAUAAUGUCUCACAUAGAAAGGUAUUUAAUAAAUUUGAGUUUCUUUUUUUAUUUCAUAAAAUAAUUCUACGGUAUUUAUAGCAUGAUAUGAAUAACAGCAUACUGACUCCAGUGACAUUUAUCUUACAUCUUCUUAUGAAAUGAAAACCUUCACUUUCCUCAUAUAUCACCAAAAGUUAUUUUAGAAUUUUUCUGAGAUUCCUUCCAACUUUAAUAUUAUAACUCAUUGAACUUAUGAGUUUGAUGUUCUGCUAGAUUAACUUUUAUUUUCUUUAAGCAGCUAAGGAAUAUAAUUAUGAUUUCCAAAAAUAUUAUUAAAAGCUUGAAAUCAUUCCAGGAUAUGACUAUGUGUUAUGCUUUGGGGAAAAAUUGCUAAUAUUUUUCAGUACUCUUUAUGUGACAUGCACUAUGCUAAGCACAUGCAUUAGGUCAUUAAAUUUUUAAGGAAACCAGUGAUAAAUACUUGUGAUUAUCCCCUUAAGCUGACAAGAAAACUGAUAUUUACAAUAGUAUCUUGCCCAGUGUUGCUAAACUAGUACAGGGAGAGGAUAGGAUUUUUUUUUUUUUUUUGAGUCAGAGUCUCACUCUGUCACCCAGGCUGGAAUCGCACCAUUGCACCCAAGCCUGGGCAACAAGAGUGAAACCCCGUCUCAAAAAAAAAAUAAAAAUAAAAAAAGAAGAAGAAGAAACAUCAAUAGCAAAAAUGAUAGGUAACACCUAGCACAUGGCAUGUAUUAAGCAGUGUUUUAAAUACUUACAUGUUAACUUAUUAUGUUUCUACAACAUUCUACGGAGGGGCUAUUCUCGUUAUCUCCAUUUUCAGAUGAGGACAUUAAGUUGUAAAAUCACACAGCUGCCUUGUGCAAGAGAAGCUCUUUACCCAAAGUGGCAUGUCCUCUGAUUCCUGACUUUUAACCCGUCUGCUAUGUGCGUAAUGCUGAAUCAUUUCUUCAAAAGUCUGCUUUUGAAGUUAAAAAAGGAUUUAAAAAUGUGUAGCAGUAUGACCAGUAUAGGCAUUGAAGUGAAGAUUUCUCAAAAUGAGACUAGGAAGCCGCACAGGAGUGAAUAGUAUGAGGUGAAAAUGCAUCUACUUUCACCGUGACCAUUUUGGGAUUUUGAUAGUAACGCUUCCCUGUGGAUAUAUCUUAUAAACAGUGACUAGAUGACAUGAGAUAAAGUGUUGGGCAAAUAGGUGGCACUCUGGCCUAGUAUCUCUUUUUGUGAUGUCUCUCCAUUUUGGGGGAAUGGACCCAUAUUUAAUAAAUUCCUACUAGAAUAAGGAAGUGCAAGAUUCUGAAGGAAAAACAAAAUAGUAAUGUGUCCAUGAAUUUGGGAGACUUCUGAACACAGAGGAGACAGAGAAUUGCUAUGUGAGGUGGGCAUGGACAAAGGAAACACUGACUUUUACAGAAGUAUAAGGCGAGAUAUGAUGAUUCCUAUAUUCACUGAUGGUAGUAACCCAUGCAUAUUUGUUUACUUUAAUGUAUAACUCAAAUAGCUGGAAGGCAAGGAGAAUCCAAGAGUUGGACAGACGGUACAUUGAUGAGCAUAUUAUGAGAGGAUGAUUUAGCAGCAGGGCAGCGUUGCCACCGACCUGCCAUCCCCAGCAUGGAAAACGUUCAUCAGAGUCCCACACACUCCACUGAUAGCCUUUUGAGAAAACUGAAGGGCCAGAGAGCCAACUUCCAUGUUCCAUGCCAUUGCUGCUAUUUCAGAUAAAAUUAUUUUUAGCACCUAACUGUCUUUCAGAACUACUGUCAUAAAACCACAGGUUUUGAGAAUUUAAAGAUCUCAUUGUCCACCCUUACAAGCUUAAUGCAUGACGCAUCUGAGACCUAGUGAAAUGAAAUAAUGAAAUAAGAUGCCUAAGGCUGCAGAGAUAUUCCACGAAGGAACCAAGAUAAGAACUGCAUUUUGUUCUGUUUGUGAAAUAGUUACCUGAGUCCAAAAACAACUCCUGUAAAUAAGAAUGAAUACAGAAACCUAUCAUGUCUGAAGGUGUACAAAACCACUGUGUGUGGUUCUAGAUUGUGAGUUACACCAGAAACAGGAGACAGUGAAUGAAAAGACAGGUGAUUAAGGAAAAAAGAUAAUUAUUUAAGUCCAAAGGUGAUACUAGAAUUGCUGUUUUUAAGCAGACAAUAAAUUUUGCUGAUACAUAGUCGAUGAAUUUUUUAAUCUAGUUAUUAGGAUUGCUAAUCCAACUUUUAAAUAAUUUCAAAGCAGAAGAAUUUACAGACAUGGUGGAUUAACACAGUGUAGCUAGUGUUUAUAUACAAAACCUGCAGGUGGGUUAUGAGGGAAUCGCUGUUGCUACGGAAAACGCUGAAAUUAACCACUAACAUAAGUAGAAGUAGACUCGACUUUAAAAAAUGAAGGCUCAAAGUAACAUGACUAGAGACGAAGUUGUCAUUGUUUUUCCUUGAAAUUUCUCCUGGGCAAACAUCAAAGGGCAGAACAAGGCUGAAGUGCAACAACUCAAGAGAAAAUUUUCUUCCAUAACAGGCUCAGGCAGGUGCCCAGACCUGGUUUAUAAAUGCCCAACGUUGGCCGGGCGCGGUGGCUCACGUCUGUAAUCCCAGCACUUUGGGAGGCCGAGACGGGUGGAUUACCUGAGGUCAGGAGUUUGAGACCAGCCUGGCCAACAUGGUGAAACCCCAUCUCUACUAAAAACACAAAAAUUAGCCAGGCAUGGUGGCAUGCAUAUGUAAUCUCAGCUACUCAGUAGGCUGAGGCAGGAGAAUCGCUUGAACCUAGGAGGCGGAGGUUGUGGUGAGCCGAGAUGGUGCCACUGCACUCCAGCCUGCGAGACACAGUCAGACUCCGUCUCAAACAAAACAAAACAAAACAAAACAAUGUUUAGGAACUUAUGGAAUAUUUGGUGUUUGGGGAUUAAUGAGGUGAAUUCGAAGUAAAUAAAACUGAAGAUACACUACAAUUUUUAGGUAUCUGUUUCAGCUCUGUGAUUUCAAACCUACAAGGCAAAAAUAAUGAAAAUCAAAUGUUGGUUAUAUCUUAGCAUUGCAUUUUAUCUGAAAAGCAUACAUACUGAAAAGUUUUAUCACAAAGAAAAGAUUUCAACGUUAUUCUGCCAAAGACUAAUGCAUUUCGUGGACCAGUUGCUGUUUUCCACUUGGAAUCCACGCACCUGACAAAUACUCAAUGGCUUCGUCCUCUCGCCUAAGGCUUCGAAUCUCUGAAGCAUAUGUCCAGAUAAUUCAUAUUGAAUACGACCCUUUGAAUGUGGAGAAAAAGAACUGAUGACAACCUCAAAAACAUCAUAACCCUGAAAAUUGUAAAUAAAACAUGAAAUAUGUGAAGGAGGCAUGGUAAAAAUAUAUAGAAACCAAAAGCACAAUUACAUAUAUGCAUUUCAAAACACACUCAUUAGAAUAGUCCACAGGUUGUCUGUCCUCACAAGCGUCUCAGUGUUCAUUAACAUCUGCCCAUGGACUACAGCUUAUCUCUGAAACAGUCAGAAGUCUAAAGGGAAUCGGCAAUAAUAGGACUGCUUUAGCAUUUUUUAAAUAUAAAGCACAAUGAAGUCAAUUGUUGAACGGUGUCUAUCCUUACUUCUCUGGGUGUGUGACUAUAUUUUACCUGGAUGUUGGCUCCAUAAUCCACAGAUAUUUUAUUUUUCUCUCCAUUGCUGUAUUCCCAGCAAAGAAAAAAUAGUAGUUACUAAAAAAAAUUUAUUGAAUGAAUGAAUGAAUGAAUGAUUCGACUGUACCUGGUGGGCAUGUGUGUGUUCUUUUAUUUGGUAAAAUAAGAAUUUUUGGGAGGCUGAGACAGGAAAAUUGCUUGAAACUGGGAGGCAGAGGUUGCCGUGAGCUGAGAUCAUGCCACCGCGCUCCAGCCUGGGCAACAGAGUGAGACUUUAUCUCAAAAAAAAAAAAAAAAAAAAAGAAAAAAAAAUUAUCACCUUUGAAUCAGUAUCCUUUUUUACAAAAACACUUACUCUACUGUGAAUCACACAAAAGGCUGGUAGUCACUGAUGUAUAGCAUAUUUUAAUUCCAAACUUAAGGUAAUACAAACAAUAACUCUAUGGGAAAUUGCACUAUUGAGAUGCCAACUAUUGACAGUGUUUAAAAAAAAGUAUGCCCAUAUAGGAAAUUGCAUAUUAACAUAUUCAGUACACAUAUAAUAUUAUCCAUUUUCUUUAAAAAAAUGCCUUGAAAGGAAUUUUUCAGUUCAUUACAAGUUAUGUUUUUAUUCCAAGAAAAAUAGGAUUUUACUGUGAGUAGGUUGGGUGAUUAAACAAAGUUCCAGCUUAGGUUAUCACCCAUUUUUCAAACAAUGCUGCAGGGCGUGAGGCUAACUGGAGAGGCAGGAAGAAUGAUUGUGUUUAUUAGGCACUGGGCAGGCUUUCCUUUUCUUACCUUUGAGUUGCCCGGGAUUUUCACUCUAUCCCUUCUUAGCAACUCCGCAUUUCAAUUAGGCAUCCAAAGGGAAGCAGAGAAAAUACAGAACUCUCUGGACUCAGGCAAGCAGAGCCUGUGGUCCCCCUAGGACACUGGACUGGAAUCGGCUGGAGGAGAAUCACGUGGACCUCAAAGCUCAGAGGUGGGAAGAAGGCUUCAUCCUAGCAGAAGCUCAAGUGUUCUGAAUAGAAUCCACAGCCACCACACCUGUUAAUGCAAGGGAAUUCCGUGUCCUCGGAUGUCUCAUUGCACCUUUGCCCACAUGUGUCUCCCUUUUAGGCAUAACUGUUAGGACCUGGGUUGGAAAAGUGAUUCCAAGAAAAGGGGUACAGUGGGCAUUUCUGCCUCUGGAAUAGGCAGACACAGUGCCAAUGCCACCAUCGGGGCUGUCUUGUGACGCCUCAGGCUAGAGGUAAGUGGGGAAGGGAAGCUGCUCCUGUGACUUUCCAACCGAAUUUAUAAUGGAAAAGUCGUGUGUUUCCUUGUUCUUUACGCUUGCUGUGUGUGAACCAUUCUACCUUGUUUCUUACCAUAUGGACUAUGGGUUUCACAUUUAGAUCCUGAGGUUAAAAGGAUGAUUUUUAAUUACCCACAGACGGGCUGGGGUGAUUUUUAAUUACCCACACAAUACAGUGUGUAUUGCAUAGCAUUCCUUUUCUUAGAAAAAAAAAAUUCCCUAGUAAAACUUGGUUGAAAAUGCCGUCUCUUCUGCAUCCCAGUCUGCACUAGAUGGUCAGAGGGCUCACUCACACAAGCAUGGGAUUCGCCAAGAAUAUAUACUCAGUUUUGCUGAAAAUCUGGUGUUUUCAGGACAUUUCAAUACCAGGUCAGUGAGAGAGAAUACUUGAGUUCUGGUUUAUCAAAAUAGUUUCUUUUGAGUGGGCAAGUUAAUGGGUACAGCCAACUAAAAUUGUUUCCAAGCCCUGGGUUAUAUGCACACAUAACGUUAAAAUGUUUUAGAGAAAUAUAGUUUCAGAAUGCCACGUUAUAGGAACAUAUUUAUGCAGGGAGUAAAGCAAAAGAGAACUCGGAACUUUUGUGGGUUGCAGGCUGCAUCACGCUGAUGAGUAUACUCUAAACAAGGGAGGUUAGAGGGCAGGAGAAAGACCUGAGCCAGUCCUACAGGUGAGAAAACGCACCAACCCUCAGUGGAAACUCCAACCAACAAACAUUAUCAAAGUCCUUAAAACGCACCAACCCUCAGUGGACACUCCAACCAACAAACAUUAUCAAAGUCCUUAAAACGCACCAACCCUCAGCGGAAACUCCAACCAACCAACAUUAUCAAAGUCCUUAAAACGCACCAACCCUCAGUGGAAACUUCAACCAACAAACAUUAUCAAAGUCCUUAAAACGCACCAACCCUCAGUGGACACUCCAACCAACAAACAUUAUCGAAGUCCUUAAAAUGCACCAACCCUCAGUGGAAACUUCAACCAACAAACAUUAUCAAAGUCCUUAAAACGCACCAGCCCUCAGCGGAAACUCCAACCAACAAACAUUAUCAAAGUCCUUAAAACGCACCAACCCUCAGCGGACACUCCAACCAACAAACAUUAUCAAAGUCCUUAAAACGCACCAACCCUUAGCGGAAACUCCAACCAACAAACAUUAUCAAAGUCCUUAAAACGCACCAACCCUCAGUGGAAACUCCAACCAACAAACAUUACCAAAGUCCUUAAAACGCACCAACCCUCAGUGGAAACUCCAACCAACAAACAUUAUCAAAGUCCUUAAAACGCACCAACCCUCAGUGGACACUCCAACCAACAAACAUUAUCAAAGUCCUUAAAACGCACCAACCCUCAGUGGAAACUCCAACCAACAAACAUUAUCAAAGUCCUUAAAACGCACCAACCCUCAGUGGACACUCCAACCAACAAACAUUAUCAAAGUCCUUAAAACGCACCAACCCUCAGUGGAAACUCCAACCAACAAACAUUAUCAAAGUCCUCAAGCACUUACUGAAAAAGUUUCUGACUUUUUUCUGCCUGAGAGAGUAUCGUAAUUAUGUGACUCAGAAGAUGAGAUUUUCCCCCUUUGGAUUUCGUAGGUGUUCAUUCCUGGUAGUUUUUAUUUUUUGCUUUGAAACAAGCAAUUGCCUUUUCCUGACCUUGACAUAAAUAAUCAACGUCUCUGAGAAGAUCGUGGGUUAUAGUAGAGUUACCUGAAAAACUUUGCUGAACAGUAUGCUGUUUGACAACGUGCAUCUGCUGUUUGCAUUAUUUAAAAUAUGCAACAGGAUGGUACUGUGCUCUGUUUACAAUAUGCAAACGUAAGAUGCUUCAACCUUGACAAUGCUGCUCAAAUUAUUCCUCAGUGUCAAAUUCUCCAGUUUAUCCAUGUAAAUUACACAUAAUAAUUUUAUAGACAGAUAUUUGUGGUUAAGAAUAAGCUGUUAAAUCUAUUAUUCCCUAUUCCCUUCUCAAACACCUUAGCAAGUGUAUGCCAUUAUUAUUAUUUCCAUUUUAAAGACUAAAAAGCUGAGGCUAUAAAAGCUGAAGAAAUUUGCCAACAAUCUUUGCAACUUUUGCAUGGCUAGUCCUGUGGUCAAGUUCUAAUCAUUGAAACUGUUGUGAUUUUCAGGGGAAGCAGUAUGAAAUAAUGUUUGCAAUUCUAGGUAAAUAUAAGUAAUAUAUGAUCAAAUUAAUACGCAAUAAUCCAAUAAUCAACAGCAGCUCAAAACUUGUAUCCUACAGCUUUUAGGAAGAAUGUACGUAAGAAAAUAGCUCUGAUUUCCCUGAGGAAGGAACUGCAUUUCUCCUAAAAAAGAAUUCUUAGGUAUCAAGGAAGAAUAUGCAUCUAUAUUCUUUGUAACAAAUGUAUAUUCACUUUUUUUAUUUUUUAUUUAUUUUUGUUUUUUUGAGAUGGAGUUUCACUCUUUUGUCCAGGCUGGAGUGCAAGGGUGUGAUCUCGGUUCACUGCAACCUCCGCCUCCCAGAUUCAAGCAAUUCUCCUGCCUUAGCCUCCCUAGUAGCUUGGAUUACGGGCAUGUGCCACCACGCUCGACUAAUUUGGUAUUUUUAGUAGAAACGGGGUUUCUCCAUGUUUGGUCAGGCUGGUAUCAAACUCCUGACCUCAGGUGAUACACCCGUGUUAGCUUCCCAAAGUGCUGGGAUUACAGGCAUGAGCCACCACGCCCAUCUUCACAUUUUAACUAUAUAAUUUUUUUAUUCACAUUUUAACUGUAUAAAUAAACAAAAUCCUAGUAAGCAAUUCUCCCCGAUAUAUAUUAAAGAGUUUGACCCACUAAUACAAUCAAAACUGGUUGAUUAGAAUCUUAGUUUCUGAAAGUGUUUAGUUUGGGAAGGAAAAAAAUGUGCUGGAGGGAAAAGAAAAAACAAAUGCAACUUGAUUAUAUGUAGUUUGUACCAACUGAGGGAACAAUCAUAAUGCCCCCAAGAUAUUCCAAUCCUCUCAGGAAAAGUAACCUUGUACAUCACAAUUAGAAAAUGUGUGGGUAGGCUGGGCGCAGUGGCUCACCCCUGUAAUCCUAGCACUUAGGGAAGCUGAGGUGAAUGGAUCCCCUGAGGUCAGGAGUUUGAGACCAGCCUGGCCAACAUGGUGAAACCCCAUCUCUACUAAAAAUACAAAAAAUUUGUCAGGCAUGAUGGCAGGUGCCUGUAGUCCCAGCUACUUGGGAGACUGAAGCAGAAGAAUUGCUUGAACCUGGGAGGUGGAGUUUGCCGUGAGCUGAGAUGGUGCCAUUGCACUCCAGCCUGGGCGACAAGAGAGAAACUCAGUCUCAAAAAGAAAAAAAAAGAGAGAGAGAAAAUGUGUGGGUAUCAAAUCUCGUCGAAAUGCACCCUCAUAACUGGUCCAUAACAUUUCAAUAACACAUUUGCUAUGACUUAUCUUGAGUGUAUUUAAUAAAUAUGCAGUUUUAAGAAGCAAAUUCACAACAAGAUGUAGACCAAGUUAAAUGCUUCUAUAAAGAUGAGCUAGUGUAUUAAUUCUCCUUCAGCAAUUUUGGGGGGCAGUCUUUAUAUACCUUCCAUUAUGGAAGACAGGGUCAACAAGCCAUUUAUGGUAGCUGAUUUGGGGGGAAAAGUCAUAGUCUUCAUCACCUGAAAUUGGUAAUAUAUGUAUACUUUAACGUUUUAUGAUUCCAAUUUACUUCAUGGAGGCUGGCUAUUUGUAUAUUUUUGUACUCAAGAAAUUUAAAGAAAGUUUUUGACAUGAUCCAAAAAUAACCAAAGUAAAAGGAGUUUGUCAGCCAGUGUUUAUCUAAAUUAAUAUUUAUUGCAGAAGACCAACUUUCACCCACCCACUCUUCACUAAUUUGUAUGAAAAACUCACACAGACAAUAAUGGGAAUUCCGCUGGCAUUUUUCUGGAUAACUAUGAUUUUCUCACAUCUUUUGAAGAAAUGGAAUCAUCUAAGACAACACUUCUGUCAAAUUAGUAGCCUGUAGUAUUUGCUUGUGAUUUUCUAUUUCCCAGUGGUUCCAAAAGCUGAUAGAUUUUUCUUUUUGCAAAACAUAUUGCAAAUAUAUGUUUCUAAAAUCUCCCCAUGUUGACAUAUGACAAAUAGUGAGUCUUAUAAGAACAAAUCUCCUACAGAUUUACAGACAAAUAGAAAGAUAUAUCCACAUGGCUUAUUAAAUACAGACAAUAUUAGUCUCUCACACUUUUAGUUUUGGUAGAUAAAACUGUUUACUUUCGCAAUUAAAGCUGUUCUGUCUACUUAUAUUAAGUGAAUAAUAGAAACAUAUCACCUUCAGCAUAAAAUAAAAUAUGUUUACGUAAGUGCAUUCAAAGAGAGAACCAUGUCCUAAGGCAUCAACAGAAAAGGGUAAGAUUGAGUGUUACGGUAGUCUGAAUGUGGAUAAUGAUGCAUAGUGACUGACAUUGAAGAGACAAUUAAAACGAAUCUGGCCAUAAAAAGAUACACAAGAAUAUAUAUUUUAUUUUUAUUCUCGUUUUUAGUCUACAAAUAAUUUUAAACAGAUGAUAAGUUUUUCAGUUGUUUCUAUCAAUAAUAGAGUUUGUAAACUAUUUAGAAAAAGUUUUUGCAUGUUUCCACAAUCUUUGUUUUGUAUUCAGAUUCCACUGUUUAUCAUCAGAUAAUAUCCUAUAAGUGUUUCUUAUAUUAUACUUUCAAUAGAAAUACUGGUAAUAUUAAUAUACAUUUUCUAGAAUACAAAUAUCUGCUUUCCUGAAUAUACAUUGAAUUUUUUAUGCAAACUUCAUUGCAAAAAUAAAAGACAGUAAAGUAGCAAAUUGUUGUCAAAUAUAGUUACAAUAUUCAAUAUUAUCAUUUGGUAAAUAAUACUAUCUAUAAACUGAUAUAAUAUUUCAUUUAUUUACUAUAUAUGAGCCAAAGCUUACUGUCCAGCAAAACUUGUGGUCUUAUACCUGACUUAAAAUACAAAGUACUAUGAUAGAUAGUGCUGGAAUUUUAUGAAGGACUUCCAAUUUCUUCUAUUAACCUCAGUAGUGUCUGCUACUUAUGCAAGUAUUUCAGCAUGCAAAUUACUUCUGAUAACCAAAAACAUUUCUUGAGCCGUGUAGCAUUGCAUAACAAAAGCUUUAGUAAAUUUAUUUUAUUCAUUUUGGGAACAGAAGAGUAUACUGGCUGGACAUCAGUCAUGCAAUGAUUUCCAGUUUUGCCUCAACUGGUGUGGCUGGUGGGACAUGUGCAUGUGCAUUUAUACCACUUAGGGAGGCUGCAGGACACGCCUGGUGGCUCACGCCUGUAAUCCCAGCACUUUGCGGGCUGAGGUGGAUGGAUCACUUGAGAUCAGGAGUUGAAGACCAGCGUGGCCAACAUGGUGAAACCCCAUCUCUACUAAAAAUACAAAAAUGAGCUUGGUGUGGUGGCGCACACCUGUAAUCCCAGCUACUCGGGAGGCUGAGGCAGGAGAGCCACUUGAACCCAGGACACGGAGGUUGCAGUGAGCCAAGAUUGCAUCACUGCCCUUCAGCCUGGGUGACAGAGUGAGACUCUGUCGCCAAAAGAAUAAAAAAAGGGGAGGCUGCAGGGAGUCAAGCAGCCUAGAUUCCCCCUGUUGUGUUCAUCAAGGAAAGGUAACAGCUUUCCAAAUGAAACCCCAAAUCUAAGACAAUUAAGAAAAAAUAUGUGUACUUGUUUCUAUCUUAGCCACGUGAGGUCCAGGUCCUGCUUCAACAGCAAGGUCCUCUGUGAGUCACAACACAGGACUUGGAUGCCAUAGGUUCUGGGGCUCAUUUAUUUUCAGCUCAUGGUCCGGGGGUGCUUUGCACGUCCUCUUCUCCAUUCUAUUGGCCCCGCGAUGUGACAGGAGACAGGAGAUGCGAUGUCACUUUUUUCCAAGUAGGAAGAACUAUGGGCUUAAUGAAUAGCUUGCAAGUUGCCACGCCGGGGUUUUCAGUGACAUGUUUGUGUGCAGGCGUCAGUUCCCAAAUAACGAAGGCCAAGAUGGCUUCAGGACAUUCAUUGUUACACAUCCAGGGACCAGGGAUCGUAUAGAAAAUCAGAUCACAGUUCUGGAUUCUCAUCCCAGAAAAGUGUGUGAAUGUGCAGACGAUGAGGGCCCACCUAGAUUAUAGACACAUAUUCCAGUAUUUCUCUGUAUAGUUCUGCUGAUUUGAUGGUGUUCUGAUUGUCUUCUUGUUGCUUGCAGUUAAAGAGCUCCUUUUUAGUGUUGCCACAUCAGUUCUCUAAAUCCUGAUCGUCUGAGUCAGAAUGAGGUGUGCCUUUUUCAUUCUGUGUCUUUCCCAAUCGAUGACAGAGAUUAGACACCUUUGGGGAACUCUUUCCACCAUAACGGAUGCCACAUGUAACUCUCAGGGCAGAGAUCCUCAAGGAGUUCACACAAGAGACAAAGACUCUUUGCCAUCCUCAUUCUCAACAGACAAAAAAGCCACUUAUGGUCAAAGUAAUCUAUUUUAUAGAAUUUAAUUUAGAAGUGAGAUAGGCUAAUGACUAGUUUUAUUAUUAAAAUGACCUUACUGUUAUUCAACCACGUUCAUUGUUUUUAUUCCUUAUGCUAUGUUUGUUCUAGUCAGCAUUAUCCUGAGUAAAUUUACACAGCCUGGCGGAAUCCACCGUGCAUUUAUACUCAACCCAGCUGACAGCCUUCAUUAUUUAUGUCCUUAAGGAUUUAUUGCCUUUCAACCCUCUUGUACCAGUUUCUGUAUCAGUGAGUAUCCUAAAUCUAGUUUAAGAAGGCAGGGAAUGUAUUAAUGUGCAUUAGGUCACAGAUCUCCAGAAGGGUCCAUUUGUCAAGCCAUGAAGCUACACAGUGAUAUGCCAUGUUCAAAGCCCAGGGUCACAAGCCCAGACCCUGUGGAGCCCGCUCUGGGAAGAGAUACAGUCAGUCCUACAGCUGGUACUGAACACCGGGAAUCACACCCCACACUCUCUGAGCUUGGGUCACCUCGAUCAUCCAUUUUGGGGAUAACCAUGUGCUGGUUUCUGAAUUAGAGCUGAAGACGCUUCAGGCUGAUUAUUGAAGACUCAAAAUAAAGUCUCAGGAUUCAUGACUUUUUCUUUGGGGAGGUGUAACAAGGGAAAUGCCCCAAACAUAGAAUGUUCAGGACCCAUGUCACAGGAGAAAUGUCCACUGUAAGGAUUCGCAUGAAUUACUGUAUCUUCCUGGGGUCCAUCCAAUGUGUCCAUCAAUACGAGGAAAGAAGGCCAUUUCACUGGGCAUGGAGGAAGGUUGACAGACCGUGCAUUGACAAAUACCAAGUACUUGUUCUCUCUCUCUCUCGCUCGCUCGCUCUCUCUCUCGUGUGUGUAUUAAUAUAUAUAUACACACACACACAUAUAUGGGGUUGGGGGGUCAGGCAGACUAUGUUUUGGGCUGAAAACCCCAGGAUAUUUAAUGUGUGCUUCUCUUUGCUUAAGUUCAGCAAAGAGCUUAUCUAUCUAUCUAUCUAGCUAUCUAUCUCUAUAUAUACAUAGAUUUAUCUAUCUAUAUCUAUCUGUGUAUCUAUCUAGCAAUAGGUAGCAAAGAAUUUAUAUAUCUAUAUAUCUAUCAAUAGAUAUAUGUAUCUAGAUACAUAUAUCUAUAUGUAUCUACAUCAAUAGAUAUAGAUACAUAUAUCUAUAUGUAUCUACAUCAAUAGAUAUAGAUACAUAUAUCUAUUGAUAGAUAGCAAAGAGCUUAUAUAUGUAUAUAUCGAUAUACACACACGUAUAUAAUGUAUAUACGUAUAUAUUUGUGCUAAAUUAUUAAACAUGGAUGUACUUUAUAAAUUAAUUAGCUCUUAUAGACACUUGCUACUUUCCUCUUUCCCAAAUUGGUGUUUUCUUCUUUCUAUUUAUCUUCAUUUCCUCUAGUGUCCAGCUGAAACUGUAAUUCUUCCUCUCACCCCACCCCAUGUCUUAUGUAGAGGGUUUCCAAAUCCUAUCAAACUUCCUUUCCAAGUGUCUUUGAAGCCCAACUCUUCUUUUCAUUUCGAUAUCACUAUCUUAGCUGGCCCCUCAUCACCUCAAGUGCAGAUUAUUUCAAAAGCCACUAAAUAAUAUGAAGGCUUCCAGCUUAAUUUUUCUGUCUUUUCAUUAUAAUUGCUCUUGGGUGUAUAUUUAAUGUCUUGUAAAGUCAGAAAGAGAGUUACCCUAACAUGAGAAUAUUUUCAUAAUGUUGACUUCUUAAUAAAUAAAUAAAUAAAUGUGAUUUUCCAUUUUCUAAAUGAGAAACUUCUCGGUUUUUAGCAAUUUUUAUAAUCUAGUUUUAAUCUGCCUUUCCAAAUAUAUCACUUUUUCCAUCACCACUAAUUGUCUCUUAUCCAACCAAACUGCGCUUUUUGUUUUCAAAAUCACGACCCGUUCCUAUUGUAAGCCCAUGAUCACCAAAAUGUAAGCUCCUCCCACCUGGAAUGUAUUCCUUGCUUUUCCUUCUACCUAAAACCAUAGAAAUGAUUACUAUUUCUCAGAAUCCUUUUCCGACACCCCAGUGGUGUUAUGUGUGCAGCAUGUCAACUCAUGGUCCUAAUUAUCUGUGCUAUUCGUUCUGCUAGCACCUGCAGCAUUGCUCAUCGCCUCCUUCAUGUAUGCACACCGUACUACCUCAAGUACAUUCUUAUCUCUUAUUGAACAGGGCGUAAAACUUCUUUCAAAAUUCUAAAAAUCAUGUAUCAUAGAAAUCAAGAGACUCUAUCAAAAACAAGUUUUUACAACUUCAUUUCACGAAUUUCUUUAUUCUCCACUCAACGUCAAAGCUGAAAAGUGACAAACAGUGCUUUAUGCACACAAAGUUCAUGAGUAGUGCACUAAAUUUCAAAGGGCAAAUAUCAACAUUAAUCUGACAAGCUAAAAUACCUCAUAAAAAUAAAUGAAGUAAAUAAUAAUGGAAUCUAAAAUGCGUGAGCAAUCUCAAGAUGAAAAAUGGCCCAGCAUAAACUAUUAUUUUAGGAUCCUGAAUAGCUUAUUGUACAUUUAUUUUUAGUAUUAAAGUUGUGACCAAAAACUUUUUUAUGAUAUUGCUAUCAGGGAAUUAAUAACAUAUAACAUAGACACUAAAUAUUUCUUACAUGCUUCGUCUGCAUUUAAAUUUUGUUCUGAGGAAAGUGAUUUGAUCCAUCAUCUGUCAAAAUUGACAGGGGAGACCCAUGUUUAAUUUUUUGAAUGUCUUCCUUUAUCCUAUUAGUUACUACAUAAAUGCAUGUUGGGUAAUACAGUGACUAUCAGACCUUCAGCUAAUUCAGGCAUGAAGUCCCAACUGUCCCUGGGAAAACAGAACUAAAAAUGGAGGCAUCACUCCUAAGUGAGCAGUGAAGCUUAAGCAAAGACAAGAAGGAUACAUAACUGUGUAUGAGAGUUGGCUAAUGGCAUCAGAAGACUGAGAUAACACUGAAGCAGACUUUGUACCCAGAUGUCUAAUCAGCUGGGUGGGUGACAUUGAUGGGCAUUCCAAAGGUCCAGUCUCAGAAUCAGGGAUGUAGCAGACACAGGCUCCCACAGGAGGCAUUUGGCCCUGGAAUGACAGACUCAACACAAUAGAAAGGAGACAGAGCUCUGAACCUGGAAGGGAGGCUACAGUUCCAUGCAGGCAGGUCAUUAGAGCUAAAAAAUGAAAAAAAAUUCCUAUCUACCACUAGCACACACUUGUUAGAAGCUACAUAGGCAUCAAAAUCUCAUUUAAGGAUGAGAGAUUGUUAAUGCGGUUAUCUCAAAAGUAAUUCACAAAAUACAAAGGAACCCAACAAUUUUAUAGGCACAAAAGUGUGUGGGUCACAAGAAUAUCUUGUUCAAAAUGUCACCAGAUGAAAUGAUGCAGAUUUGUUUCUUUUAAUAGUUUUAACUAGGGAAUAACACAGUAAAAUAUAUGAAGCGUACUUCUGUAAAUCGUGCAGCUUGGAUAAAUUUGAGCACACAUACACAGCUGUGAAAACACCACAUGAAUCAAAAUACAGAACAUGUCCAGCACUCUCAAGCUCCCUCUUGAUUUCGUUUCUUCCAGUCACUGACUCUAGUCUCCAUAGGAGUUAACCACUAUUUCGACCUCUAACUCUCAGCAGAUGGAUUUUGCCUGCUCCUGACCUCAUACAAAUGGCUUUAUACAAUUGUUGCUCAUUCAUGGAUGGCUUCUUUUGAUCAGCAUGAUGUCUUAGAAUUGUGUCCAUCCAUGGUUUAAUCUUUCUUAUUUAUAAUGUUCCAUUGUUUAUGAAUAAACCACUUUAUUUUUAUUCUCCUUUUGAUGGGGAAAUUUUAUUUCAUUGUUUUUUUCCUUUGCUACGGCAUUAGGGAUUGAAGCCUCUGUGAGCCUUCUUAUACGUGUCCUUUGCAGACUUUUACAGUUCUUUCUGCUGCAUGCACACAGGAAGAGAGUCUCUGGAACAUUGGAUAAACCCACUUUCAACGUAAUGCCUACCGCCUAAAGGGCUCGGGCACACCAGCUUCUGCCCUUAUCUGCAAACUAUCAGAGCUGCAGAUCCUCCACACUUUUCAAUUCUUUGUAUCGACAACUUUGCUUUGGUUGGAUAGCUUGUUCCAAGUGUAGCCGUUCUCACGGAUCUGUAAAGAUAAUGCAUUCUGACAUUAAAGUGCACGUCCUUUGUAAGUAACGCUGUUGAGCUCCUUUCAAUGCUUGCUGGACACUUGGAUAUUAUAUUCUUCUUUGAAUUAUCUGGUCUGAUGUUUUGUCCAUUUUUUAUAUUUUUCAAAUCUUUUUCUUAUUGAUUGGUAGAAAUUAUUUAAAUAUUCAGAAUACAAGACUUCUGUCAGAAACGUUUGACGAAAGUCUUGCUUCUGUAAGGGAUGCCUCCGAAUGCUAGGCAAUCCUUAGCUGGUAGCUGGGGGUCUGUGUUAACGAGGCCAAGCCACAUCAAUAAAUUGCUCUAGGUUCAAAAUUUCUUGGAAACAAUGACUUGGAUUCUAACUUAGUUGCCUCCUCUUCUUUUUUACUUCUGACCCAAGAAACAAAUAGUAUGAAGUGUGCAUGCCCUGCCCUAAGGGACGAGGCGGAUCUCCUCUUCAUGUCCCUCAGCUCUCUCAGGUCGUGCCCGAUGCUGGAAAAUCCUGGCCACCAUACGAAGGGAAGCAGAAGCCUGGUCAGGGGUCCCGUGUCAUAACCACUGGGAUCGGGGACACCAGUGCUCAUCCUGUUACAGUGUAACUCAUUUUCUUUUACACCAUAGUCACAUAUUUUUGUGUCCCUUUCCUUCAUGUGAUAGCUUUGUUAUGCCACAUAAAAUACAACUUCUGGGCUGGGUUUGGUGGCUCAUGCCUGUAAUCCCAGCACUUUGGGAGGCCGAGGUGGGGGGAAUCACGAGGUCAGGAGUUCGAGACCAGCCUGACCAACAUGGUGAAACCCCGUCUCUACUAAAAAUACAAAAAUUAGCCAGGUGUGGUGAUGAGUGCCUGUAGUCCCAGCUACUCAGGAGGCUGAAGCAGAAGAAUCACUUGAACCCAGGAGGCGGACGUUGCAGUGAGCCGACAUCAUGCCACUGCACUCCAGCCUGGAAGACAGAGUGAGACUCUGUCUAAAAAAAAAAGAAAGAAAGAAAAUACAACUUCUGGGAGCUGAGGAAAUACAAGGUGGAGGAGGAAUGAGUCCUGGAGCGACACAGCCUUGCAAACCGUCUCUGAUUGACAUUCCGUAACUUUAUCCUUUAUAUGACGUCAAGAGUAAUGCUGAGAAUAGAGUGCAAUCCUCAACACAGUAGGCAGGGGCAGGGUCAAUUAUGCAUUUAUUUUUCACAUUUGCAAAGAUAAUAUUUGUAUUAUAUAAUUAAUAUUUACCAGAGUAAUAAUUAUUAUACUUUCAGGAGAAAUAAAAACAGGAUAACGAUUUUCAUACACUGAUGACAUUUCAGGACCAAAGCACUUUAGUCAAAUUUGUUAGAGGGUCUUUGUAUCUGAAUCAUAAAUUCCAUCACCAAAGGUAAUCGUGGUCAUAAAGGAGGGUCCCGCGUUCGAGCAAAACCGAUGAAGUUUCUAUUGAUUUGAGAUUAUGCCUUACACUAAAAACCAAUAGUAAUUACAUCAAAUGAGCUAAAUUAAUGAAGUUAAUAUUUGCUGUUGGGAGAUUGUUAGAACUCGACCAACCUAGCGAACAUUCUAGCAUUACUAACCACUGCCUGGCAUAAGUAAUUUCUAAAAUUUCAAAGCCCACGUUAGUUAGUGAGGUGCAAUUCUCAACGGCAUUUUGACAUUUUGGUUGUGUUCCAGAAACAUGUGCAUACAUCGUGAGUGUGUGACUGAACAAAAACUAUGGCUCUCCUCUUCAUGUUAUUUUCACAGUUGGUGUAGGUCACAGUAGAUGAAAGUGACGGGAAGUCCAUUUCUAUGAUUUUCUUCUCCAGGCUACGGCAGGCUUUAUGGUGCUGUCUUUCUAGAGCCAUAGCUCAUAUAUUCUCUUUGGCCUGGGAGGGUUUCAUUCAGAUGAACAUGUGGUAGGAUGUUGGCCUUGUGGGACGAAGCCCCCAAAAUCAAUAGAUGAGGUACCUGGAUCUGGCCCUGCCAUGUUCUACCAUUGUGAUUUUGAGAGCCUGUCAACCUCUCCCAGACCCAUUUUCCUCAUUUGUAAAAUGAAAUGAAUAGAUUUUGGUGGUUUUGAGACUUUUGGACUAUGGAAGGCUUUCUUCAGAAAAGAAAAAGAAAUAACACAUUUCCCAAAGCCCAACAUAUACACCAAAUCCCAGUGUGCCUGCCACUCCCCUUGGCUGGAUGCUGGAGGCCUGUUCUCCACGUCUCUCUCCCCUUCACUCUGUAGUUGCUCUUGGGACACAGUUGUAAAACCCACACAAGGUUUCUUGGAAAGACCUGAACUAAACAGUUUCUAAGAUUUCUUCUUUGGCCAGGCACAGUGGCUCACGCCUCUAAUCCCAGCAUUUUAUAAGGCUGAGACGGGAAGAUCACGUGAGGUCAGGAGUUCAAUACAGCCUGGCCAAUGUGGUGAAACCCUGUCUCUACUAAAAAUAUAAAAAUUAGCUACGCAUGGUGGUACAUGCCUGUAAUCCCAGAUUACUCAGAACACUGAGGCAGGAGAAUAGCUUGAUCCCGGAGGUGGAGGUUGCAGUGAGCCGAGAUUGUGCCACUGCACUCCAGCCUGGGCAACAGAGUGAGACUCCCUCUCUAAAAAAAAAAAAAAAAGACUUCUUCUUCCUCUGACUUUCUUGAUGGACACUUUUCUCACAUGGGAUCCACUAAUGUCACCACCAGGGGAUGGCAGGAAAGGUGGGACAGAAGACCCAAGGGCCAAGGCAGAAGCAAGCAGAAGAGAGUUUCACCCUCAGGAUCGCAGUCAGGAAUCACACCACGCAACAUCGCACCCAGCCAGGGAGAUGCUGGCUGAGUAAAGGCACAUUUAAAGUCCACAGACUCCACACUCAGGGGCCAGGCCAUACGCGCCAGGAGCUCAUGGUGCUUGGAGAGCCUGAGAGCCAUGCACCAUGGGAAGCAUGGAAAGGAUGGAGAGGACAGUGAUGGGGCAGCCGCUCAGGGUUCCACGGGCCUUCCAUUUAUUGUUCUUUGCCAUCCUCACAAUGGGCUUCCUCCUCCUGGUCCAAGAUGCCCUUUGAACAUCCUCUUUGCAGCUGUCAGUUAGAAAUAAGGGACAAAGGGUCCAUUCCUGCUUCUUGCGACACAGUGGAAACCAUUUUCAUGCACAUACAGACUGUUCAGAAAGUGGCCCUGCAGCUCCUCUCCACUGCAACUGACUUUGGCAAAAGAAUCCUAGUUCACACAGUCAUGUGCUCAGCCACAGACCGUGGCUCUGAUCCAGGAGAGAGAGGAGAAUAAAUGACUAGCACUAACCGUGAUCUCUGAGAAGAAUCUGAUUUUCCUUAAGGGCAGUUGGAAUAACACUCACCUGAUCACGGACCUAGUUUGAGCCUGGACAGGGUGUCCUAGUCCUCUCUGUGCUCACUUUUUAUCCUAUCACCUGUUUAUAAGGAACGAAAGAACAUGCCAUGCCCAGUCCUGGCAUCUGGGAUUUUGGGACUCUAGGAUGUAAGCUUUGGAGGGCUUUUGGUUACUCACUCAUUAUCAUUUUGUAUAUUAAUGAAAUUGUGGCUUCAUUUUAUCAUCAGAAACCUGACUCUGUUAUUACAUAAGAUACUCUCUUUUACCUGUGUUGGGCUAGGCAGUCUGAUAUUCAGAGCAAUUCAACCAAUAAGAUCUUUGAUAACUCAGUUUCCCUAUUUUUUCAAUGAUGAGAACAAUCACAGCCUAAUACCAGACAGGUGUGCUGAGGCUGGAACUAGAAUGGGAAUUGUCCCAGAAGAAGGCUCUCACAAGAAUCCAAGAAAGGAUGAAAGGAGAAGGAGUUGGAGGAGGAGGGGAAGAAGAGGAGAGAAUGUUUCAAAUCAAUCAAAGUCAUCUGUGUGUAACCAUUGCAAGAAUUCAAUCGCACUGAGAAAAAAUUAUUAACACAGAAAACUAUCUUUUCUUGGACUGAUUUCCAGUUGAUAACUCUGGGCCAGCAUCUUUCAUGGAACACUUUUCCUCUUCAGAAACCACCAUAAAUGUGGCUAAGGGCAUUUGUAUAGACACCUUCUUAAUAUUAAAAACGUGGGAGGAAGAGACGAGUUACGAUUAUUGCAAAGAAACCAAUCCAUCUGGAUUUAAUGUAACAGUUGUAAGCUUUCAGUCUGCACCUAUGAUUUUAAGUAGAAAAGAGAAAAUUGGAAAGCAAACUGGAAAACCACCAAAAUUUAGUAUAAAUUUAAAAUCAGAGCAGUAAAUUUUCAAAGGCUGUGUGAACAGUUCACCCUUCUGGUUGUCUUUUCUUCAUGUCUUUAAGCCAGCACAUUACUUCAGUUAGUUCUAGCAUCCGUUUAGUGCCAAGCUUGCAAAGGGAAGGAGGAAUUAAUUUUAUUCAGAAAAUGGUGCCUGUGAUUAACUGAAUGGUUUAGGAACUAACCAAUUUUACAAAUACACACUGCAGCUUUGUAUGUAUGUGUGUAUACAAAUUUAAGCUUUAAUCCAUUUUAUGUGAAAUUUUAAACAUGGCUUUGAAAUAUAAUUUUAUUCCAGUGUUUAAAUACAACAAAUUCGACAAAUGUGCAUGGAGCCUGGCCAGAAGACAGAGACGCAGCAGUGAGUCGGGCAGGUGCAGCCUGGCCAUGAUGAAUCACAUUCUAUGGGGCAGGGAGCAGAUAAUUAAACAAAUAGUUACACACCAGUUGUUCAGUUACUAUGUAACCCUUGUGAACACAUUCCAAGCCACGUGUGUUAUAUGUGUCACGUCUAGGCCUCAUGAUGCAGGAGGCUGUGCUAUCCACCACUACCCCUGCUUUACCGAUAAAGUAGGAGACACUGAAGGCACAUGCCCCGGUACUGUCAGAGGCAAGAUUGUUACUGAGCAGGGAGGGACUCCCUCCCAGCCUUUUCCAAUUUUACUGGAAAUUUGUCUUCAGAUUUUUUUUUCUAUUCCCAGACCAAUAUAUAUUUUACAAUUACAUAAAUAAUAUCAAACAUAUUUUUUCUAAGCAAUUUUUGUGGUAGUAUAGAGUAUGGAACCAAUUUUGCUAAAUGCACAAGCGUUUUGAAAACAAACUCUUGCUGAAUGGGGUCUGGUUAGAAAACAGACUUCCAAUACUUGUUUGAUUCAAGAUUCCAGCACUCUGUGUGUGUGUGUGUGUGUUUGUGUGUGUGCGCACCGCAGUACUCAACUGUCUGCAUAAAAAAAGAUCUAUGUGUUUAUCAUUGUAUUCUGCUGAACAAAAAAAAAUGGAUAAAAAUGCAUUAGUGGAAAUCAAUACCUUGUUGAGAAGCUUCAAGCACAUGUCUCUGCCUCUUGACUGCAGGGGGCUGCACCCUCUUCCUGCCAACCAUUUAUAAUCACAUACGGAUGCCAAAAUUAGCAGCAGAGAAAGCAAUUACUUUAAAGGCUUUGAGAUUGGAAGUUAAAAAAAGAUAUAUAUUGUAAAUCAUUUUAAUCCAACAGCAAGAAAAUAGCAAGUUAAAGUUCAUAAAUAGGAGGUAGGCUAAUGAGACAAUAUUUUAAACAUUAACAGUGCCUUUGAUCUAUAGUGUGUUCAGUAGGAAUUUGCUUUAGAGGACUGUAUUAGACUGUUCUCAGGCUGCUAAUAAAGACAUACCCGAGACUGGGUAAUUUAUAAAGGAAAGAGGUUUAAUGGACUCACAGUUCCACAUGGCUGGGAGGCCUCACAAUCAUGGUGAAAGGUGAAUGAACAGCAAACGCGUGGUGGCAGAGAAGAGAGCUUGUGCAGGGGAACUGCCCUUUAUAAAACCAUCGGAUCUUGUGAGACUUACUCACUACCACAAAAACAGCACAAGAAAGACUCACCCCUAUGAUUCAUUUCCUCCCACCAGGUCCCUCCCACAGCACAUGGGAAUUAUGGGAGCUAUUAUUCAAGAUGAGAUUUGGGUGGGGACACAGCUGAACCAUAUCAAGGAAACAAAUGGAAUCUUCAAUAUUGACAAACUCCAAAUGGAGUUGAGGACUUGAGUAGGAACAGGUUGGGUUAAGUGGACCAAGAAGAAAGUCAUGAUAGGUUGUUGAUACUGAUGGUGAGGGCAGGAUAUCUGCAGUCUAUGUGGACAAGUGUUUUUUGCCAGCUUAAACCCAAAGGAGGGAGGAAAUUAGCAUGGUUUGAACACCUACCUGGCCAGCGGCUCUUUUCUGUAAUCUCUGAUAACUGAUCUCCAUGUAAAUGAGGUUCAAUAUGAGAUCUUUCUACUCGGUAGGUUUCCGUGUAAUUUACAAUAUACGUGACUAUUCAUACAUGAGUCAGCCCAACACAACAGAUUCAAUAUUAAUUGCAGAAUGAAAUCUUGGAUUGUGUUAUGAAUAGACAUAAUGGAGAUCACUGGGACAUACAGUUAAUGUAAAAGGGAUGUAGAUGAUAAGGAUGAUUUUUUUUUUUUUGAAACAGAGUAUAGCUCUUGUAGCCCAGGCUGGAGUGCAGUGGCGCGAUCUCGGCAGCUCACUACAACCUGUGCCUCCCAGGUUCCAGUGAUUCUCCUGCCUCAGCCUCUUGAGUAGCUAGGAUUACAGGUGCCCGCCACCAAGCCCGGCUAAUUUUUGUACUUUUAGUAGAGACGGAGUUUCACCAUUUUGGCCAGGCUCGUCUCAAACUCCUGACCUCAGGUGAUCCGCCCGCCUUGGCCUCCCAAAGUGCUGGGAUUACAGGCGUGAGCCACUGCACCCGGCUGAUAAGGAUGAUUUUACCCCCACAGAUUAGAAAGAAAAAUCAUCAGCUGAAAGAGUGAACAGCUUCUCUGUAGGUAAAUCAAGAUGAGUGUUGAGUAUAUGCAAGUGGGUAGAUUUGUGUGUGUGUCUAUAUGUUUGUGAAUAUGUGUGUUAGUGUGUUUUUGAGGAGGGGGCAGAUAUAAGAGAGGGAAGACAAGAAAAUUAAUGAAUCAUAGCCCCUCCCGUAUAAAAGACAAUCUCAAUACUUAGUAUCUAAGCUCACAAAGGCUCUUGGUAGAAACUCGUUCCAGACUCCUGCUGAAAGCCAGCUCUAGCUAGUUGAAUACCUAAAUGUAAAUAACAAAGGCAGUAAAAAUAUCAAAGCAUGCCCAAAUGCUGGAAAUAAAAAGUAUUUAAAGAAAGGAAACGUAAGACAUUGAACGGUAAGACUUUAAAACCACCAAGGAAAGAAAUGAGAUGCAGCAGAUUUAUGGAAUAAUCUUUAUUUAAAACAUUGCAUUAUGUUGGAAAACAGGAAAAAUUGGCUGUCUUUUUUUAAAGCAAGAGGAGUUCGUGUGCAUAUCUAUUUAUCGUUUUUUUCCAACAUCCAGCAUAUUUCUUAUGCUUAUUCCAAAAAUAUAUUGUAUCUACUUAUGGUAGCUCUUAACAAACUGCUGAGUUUCAGUGAGAAGAAACCUUGUUUGCAGUGGACUGUGGCAUACAGAAUUUUUUCUCACAUUUUUUUUCUGUUUACUGUUGUUGUUUUUUAUUUUUAUUUUACUUUAUUUUAUUUUUGAGACGGAGUCUUGCUGUCACCCAGGCUGGAAUGCAGUGGCUCAAUCUCAGCUCACUGCAACCUCCGCCUCCCAGCUUCAAGUGAUUCUCCUGCCUCAGCUUCCCAGGUAGCUGGGAUUACAGGUACAUACCACCAUGGCUGGAUAAUUUUUGUAUAGUAGAGAUGGGGGUUUCACCAUAUUGUCAAGCCUGGUCUCAAAAUUCUGACCUGAGGUGAUCUGCCUGCCUAGGCCUCCCAGAGUGCUGGGAUUACAGGUGUGAGUCACCAUGCCCAGCCACUUUUCUGUUUUUUGAAUUAGAUCCCUACGGAAGAGACAAAGGGAAUAGCAUGGGCUAGGUCUGGCCAAUCAUAAUAACGUACCUCAUGGUUACAUCAUGGCUCUGACAUUGGGCACGUACUCCAGGCAGGGCCAUAUAUCUGAAAUUAAUAUAUAGACACUGGGGAAAAGAAAACUAUUUCCUCCGAGAUCCUGACCCAGGAUGACAUGGAUCUAGAUCCAUCUCUCUUUGGCUACAAGGUGAAAAUUGAUGUGAUUCCAGAGAGAGUAAGUUCAACACACACAAAUUAAGAGAAUCCAGAAAUGAAGAGAAAGAAAGAAGAGAAACACAGAGAGAGAGAGGAAGAUGGGCACUGAGAUUAUCAUGCAAUGUCCUUGACCAAACAAAGUCUGCAUCGUGAAGCCAAUAAGUUCCAUUUUUGUUUUAGCUUGUUUCAAGCAUAUUUCUGUUGUUUACUGUCCCACAAGUUACUGGGAUAUAAUUCUCCAUGGGUUUCUUGUAGUCUGCACCUGUGAGGUACGGAUAGCUCAUAAUUCUGGGUUAUCUUUUCAAUCAUGUUCGUGUCAUAAACGUGCUUAGAAGACAGAGAGAGUAUCUUCCUUCAGAUACACUUAAUGUCCAGUAUAAUAAAGAUAGUGUCUUGCUCAGGAGCAAAAGGCAGGCAUGCUCACUGCCCGUUAUAAAUGAUUCGAGUUUUCUAAGUUCAGGAUUUCUCUCCUGCAAUGCAAACUUCUGUGGGUACAGGUGUGAUCUGGUUCAUUUUCUGUCUCUCUGCAGGAAUUGGGGCUCAGGGAAACCACACUAAACCGUGGAUACUCCACUAAGUUUAAUUGCUCUGAAUAACACAGUGUUCUUGUCUCUGACCAAGAGUUUCGUGUCUCCUCCCAGCACCCAUGAAACUAUGACAAGAUAACUUGUCUUGUGAGCUUGCAGUUCUUGACACUAAUAUGUUCCUCUAGGUAGAAAGUAGAAUCUUAGAGUGGAGAGAAAAGAACCCCACACAAUUUGGAAACGUGAAAUCAAUGUGUAUAUAGCUGUAAAUUUAGGGAAAAAAUAUUUUUUUCAAUAUAAAUAAACUUUUUAUUGUCUGCUAGAUAAAGAUAAAGUAAAAAUCUUGGCACAUAGUUUCAGGGAAAAUAUAUAAUGACUCAAUAUUUAGGCCAUGGUACAUAUAAUUUAAAGAGACUGUGUCAUUAUAUAGGGUAAAACACAUUUUUUUUUAAAGUUUACCUAAAGAAGGUGAGUUUUAAAAUAUUUGAGAUAUAGACAGUUGAGUUUUCCAGAAAGGAAAUUUGGAAAUGAUAGAUCAGUUAGUAAUUAGAAUGUCAUGUUCCUUGAGCAACUUUAAUAGAUAAAUUUGGUUAAAAUGUCUUUGAUUCAUCCAACUUAUAUUACAAAUUCCAAUCAUGUAUGGAACAAACAUUAAUUACACUGAACCAGUGUAUCCAGGACUUCUUUAGACAAAAAGCAGACUGGUGAAAAGCCAGACAAUAUUCCUACCCUAUAUGUGCUGGUAAAUGUUUAACAACUGGCUCUCUCAGAGAAAAUGUAUGGCUAAAUAACAUUUCCAUUGAUUUUUUUCCAAAAUUGUGCAUCUGUAGUCAACCUGGGGUUGCAGUUGGCAAAGGCAUAUAGGAUUGUAAUUUCUAUGCAAUGCUGACUGAUACUGUCAGGUAUGUUAAAGAAUAAAAUAGAACUGUGGCUGGGCACGGUGGCUCAUGCCUAUAAUCCCAGCACUUUGGGAGGCCGAGGUGGGCAGAUGACUUGAGGUCAGGAGUUUGACACCAGCCUGGCCAACAUGGUGAAACCCCAUCACUAACUAAAAAUACAAAAAAAUUAGCAAGGUGUGGUGGCGUGUGCCUGUAGUCCCAGGUACUCAGGAGGCUGAGGUGGAAGGAUCACUUGGACCCAAGAGGCGGAGGUUGCAGUGAGCCGAGAUUGUGUGACUGCAUUCCAGCCUGGGCAACAGAGUGAGACUCCAUCGAAAGAAAGACAGACGAAAGAAAGAGAAAGAGAGAAAAAGAGAAAGAAAGAAAAAAGGAAGGAAGGAAGGAGAGGGAGAGAAAGAAAGAAAGAGAGAAAGAAAGAGGGAAAUAAAGAAACAAAGAAAGAAAAAGGAAGGAAGAAAGGAAAGAGAAAGAAAGAGAGAAAAGAAAGAAAGAGAAAGAAACAGGGAGGGAGGGAGGGAGGGAGGGAGGAAGGAAGGAAAGAAGGAGGGAAGGGAAGGGAAGGAAUGAUGACUUACAAUACAACUUUGUCAAUGACAUAACCCGUCUUCAUUCUACAGGAUGUCGUGGCUGGUUUUGAGUAGAUUAAGGGGUACUCAGAUCGUUCAUUCUGCAGGAUGUGGUGGCUGGUUUUGAUGGGAUUAAGGGGUA
RNAcentral lists this long non-coding RNA (44847 nucleotides) under Homo sapiens (human). RNAcentral's name for it is "non-protein coding lnc-MYOM2-4:3". Lineage: Eukaryota; Metazoa; Chordata; Mammalia; Primates; Hominidae. The record is from RNAcentral.